RNAcentral lists this long non-coding RNA (87598 nucleotides) under Malus domestica (apple). The record is from RNAcentral. Lineage: Eukaryota; Viridiplantae; Streptophyta; Magnoliopsida; Rosales; Rosaceae.
GCGGAUAUCCGGCUCCUGCUCCGGGAUAUGGCAGCCCGUUCGCGGCUUUGGUUCCGUCGGUGUUCCCGCCGGGCACGGACCCGAACGUCAUAGCUUGCUUUCAGCUGGCGGAUCAGGACGGCAGCGGCUUCAUCGACGACAAGGAGAUGCAGAGAGCUCUGUCGUCGUACAAUCAGAGCUUCAGCUUGAGGACUGUUCAUCUUCUCAUGUACCUCUUCACCCAGACCAACACCAGGAAGAUCGGUAACAAUUUACAAACCUCAUCACUCCAUGUUUGCAUAUCUUUGUAAUUUUUUGAUCGGCGCACUGAACGGUGUCGCCUGCGCCGAGUCAGUGAUCUGACACUGAGUCGCGGUUAGAAACUUAGAAUCAGUGAAUGUCCAUCAUGCCCUUAACGCCUAUCGGAUAUAAUCCAUAGAAUGCGUAUGUGGUAGUCGUGGUCAGUUGACCGUUGAAUCUUUAUGACAUCAUGCGUUAUGCUUAUCCACAAAAAGAUAAUAUGAGACUAAGUUUUGGUUUACAAAAUUCACAUUGGAAAUUUGGUCUUUUUAGUAUUUAGCUUUUCUAAAAUUACCGAGAUGGAAACAGAUCGUUGCCGUCUUGGCAAUUUAGUCCAUCAUGUCAUGCUUAUGUUUUUUUAUUUACGUGGCGUGAUAUUUUAUUAGUGGACUGGACACCACUAUGGCGGUGAACCCUUUAUAUGCAACUUGCUCUCGAGUAUUUGCUAAUUUGGUACAGUUUAUCUUUGUAAAUAAUGAUAUUUAUGUGUGUGUGUGGGUAAAUUGUGAAAACAGGGCCCAAGGAAUUCGCUGCACUGUUCUACAGUCUUCAAAGUUGGAGGGUAAUCCCAAUAAUUUUCUUUUUUUUUUUCCUCUUUUAUAAUCAUUUUGUUUUUAAUUUUAAUCUUCUUCUAAAAACUGAAAUCUUAUUUGGUUUCAUUUUUUGCUUCUUAGUUUUCAUUUUUUUGAAAAUUGAAAAAAAAAUGCAGUUACCAAACAAGAUUUCAAUUUUUAGUUAAAAAAAUCAAAAGCUAAAAAUCAAAACAAAAAACUGAAAACGAAAUGGUUAUUAAACAUCUCAUAAGAUUUUGUCUUUUAAUUUUUGUGAGAAAUUAACUGUUUUGUAAUUGGUGUGGUUGAUCAGGGAGUGUUUGAGAGGUUCGACCGGGACAGAAGUGGGUUCAUUGAUGCAAAUGAGUUGAGAGAUGCACUGCUGAGUCUGGGAUUUGCUGUCUCACCUGUAGUUUUAGAACUGCUGGUCUCUAAAUUCGACAAGACUGGAGGCAAAAAGAGGGCCAUUGAAUAUGACAAUUUCAUCGAGUAUGUUUCCUUUUCCUUUUUUUCUAUCAUUCUUUUUUGGGAUUGGUUUGAGGAUCAAAUCCUUACGCAUUAGAUACUUACAGCAUUUCAUUGUGGUAUAUUUUAUAUUAUGUUUUCUUAUCGAUAUCUGAUGAUUCCUUGUUCGUUUGUUUUGAUUAAAUGCAGGUGCUGUCUGACUGUUAAGGUGAGUUCGAUUUUCCCUAAGGCUUAUAUUUUGUGCACUUAAUUUAUAGUGUUAAUUGGGGAAACCUAGCGUUGGCUUGAAAGUUGAUUCUGAUUUAUGCAUAGUUUGUACGGUUGAGUAUUCAAAACUCUAAGUUAUUGCUGCAGUUAGUUGACAAGCAUUUCAAAAAGAGGACGAACAACCCCUUUAUUUCGUUGCUUAAUUUCUUGGCUGGGAAACCAUAAAAUCAUUGUUCAUCACUGAAUCAUAUAGUUUCCACAAAAAUGGAUGUUCAUUAUCUCAAGAGGACAAGCUGUGGGUUAACAGCUAAACUGUCGAUACUUAAGGGAGCGUUUUCUUUUGUGAUGCUUGUGUCUUGCAGGGAUUAACCGAGAAGUUUAAGGAGAAGGACAAAGCGUACAAUGGUAUGGGAACUUUCAGUUACGAGGAGUUCAUGUUGACUGUCCUGCCAUUCCUCAUUGCGUAGGUUGUGUGUUGCUAAAGGCUUUAUGAAUUCGGUUCCGCGUCUUCCAGUGUUUUGUAAUAUCUAGUUCUUUCUUUCCUGUUUCUUAGUGGAGUGGAGUGCAAUAGCUGUAUUUUCUCACUGUAUAGCUUUCAUGUAACGAGGCUUCAGAGUCUGGUUUUACCAUGUUUUUUACUUUUGCAUCAUUUUCCUAUUAAAGGUUGGUGUCGUUGGAAAUAAAAUUUUGGGAAAUUUUAUUUAAAUCCAUCUAACCUAUUUAUACAUCCAACUUACUCUUUGCAUCCAUUUGAUUUUUAACUAAACUAUUAAUAUCUCUUUAAACCCAAAUUUAAUAUCUAAUAUACCCUAUAAACCCAAUUCAAUAUGUGCAUUUAUUUUUACACCUAUUGAAUUUUUAACUCAAAAGCUGCCGCUAUGCCACUUGACUUUUGAUGGUAAAGGGUUUACCUCCUCCUUAAACUUCUCCUCCUCUUCGUAACUGGACAAAGCAACUACUUCUACCUUCAUAUUAACAAAUGAAGUACCAGAGACAAUAGGCUUUAAUUAAUAAGAACAUUAUACAAAGCAAACAUGAUCAGAGAGUAGAGAAGAAUAACUUAUAUUCUUAGUCCUAGUAUUGAGGAAACAACUAAGCAAGAUAAUGCAAGGGAAUCAUGGUCACUGGGUCCUUUCACACCGAACAUUUUUUCAUCAUACGUAAGCAGUAAUUCAAAAGCAGGUUUAAUGUAUAAACAUAUGGGAAGAAGGAUUGGUAGGAUAUUCUCCAGACCACUAGGGUUGGACUUGAAAGCAAGAAAUCACUAGAAUUUCAGUAUUGAUUCUGGAAUUUGGGGCAGCAACUGCUUCAUAAUUUUUUUUUUUGUGUCAUGGCGAUUAAGCCAAAGGCUAUCAAAAAAAUCUGAGGAGUAAACAUAUGCUUUCGUUGUUGUUUGUUUUACCCAGAAGGUAGGAUGCUUUUGUUGUAUUUGUUGAAAAAAAUUACAGUAAAGUAACUUCUACACUCUAAAAAAUUUAAAAUCAAACGAACAAAAAAUUCAUAAAUUGAGUCAUACCUUGGUUGGAGGAUUCAAAACUUCAAAAUCACCAUCCAUCAAUAAAAAAAAACUUAUUUUUCUCUAUGAGAGCUAUUAGGGUUUUAGUCAGAAUGAACGUAGGAUAAACAAAGAGUGAUCGUAGGGUUUAAUUAUAGUGUUUGGGUUUAUUGAUAAAUUUGAGUUUUAUUAUUAAUUUCAUUUUGUACUUAAUAGUAAUUAUGCAAUAGGAUAAAAUAGACAAUUAACAUUUGAAAUUUAAAUUAGGUGUAAAAAAGAUUAAAUGGGUUUAAAUAAAAUUUCCUCAAAAUUUUCUUUGGCUAAGAAGUGAGAUGACUUUGACAUCAUUUUCCUAUGUAAUUUUUUUAUUUUAGCAAAAAAAAAAAAUUAAUAAUAAAUAAAUUGGACAUCUCCACAUUUAUUUUAGGGGUCAAUAAUUCCAAAACGAAAGCCCUUAAUCCAGGCAGGCACAUAGUAUCUUCUAAAUUUAUUAUGCAGUGACCAUUGUUUUUCCUAUGAAAUUGUUUUCCAUGUCAACAAGGCACGCUUACCAAAUUUAUGCAUUGAAUGUAUGUCAUCAAUCGAAUUUAUAUGGUGUAAAAUAUGACACAUCAAUUAAGUUUAUAGGGUGUAGAUGGGUCACAUUAUUUGGUGCACAAAUUUCGUGCACGAAUUUGGUGUAUGUAGCACCACCCAACACAAUAAGUUUUACAUCUCCAAGGGAGAUAGCCAAUUUUAUAUGUGAAAGUGUUAUUUGCUAACUACGUGGUACUUAUAUGCUACUAUCAAUUUUUUUUCUUCCAAUUACUUUUAACCCAACUCUUCAAAUUUUAUUCUCUAUCUUAAAAUAUUAGGAUUAAGUACUUAAAACCUGAACCUUGUAUUGUCAUUCCAAAUUAGUCUCAACAUUUUUAAACAUUCCAAAUAAGUACCUAAUCUAUUGAAAGUCAUAUAUGUUAAGUCUCAGUUAAUUUUUUCGUUAAAUGUACACGUGACAACAAUGGAUCCCAUUGAUUUGCUUAUUUGGAUACUAAAAUAAUAACAAAAGUAACUUCAAAAAAAAGACAUGAAGAUGCAUAAAAAAUAUAAAUAAAAAAUUCACAAAUAAAAUGGAAAACAAAAAUGAAGAUUGAGAAAUCUCCUAACAAAGAAAGAAGAGGUUAAGAAUUCAUAUAAGGUUUCAAAGAGCUUAUUUCUACUUAUGUGAUUUCCUCAUUCGCCAAUUUUUUGCUAGUAAAGCCUCGAGUUCUUCUUUAUGGGUGGUGAAGAUGGUGGGGGCCACAUCAUGGCAGUCCAUACCGUUUCAGCAACCUCCAUGACCUUCUUCUAGAUAUUGGCUGCUUGAGUUGUAGGGUAAAGUUUGUGGUGGUGCAUUGGGUUUGGAGGUAAGUGGUGGUGACUGUUACUUGAUGGAGGCCAUGCUUCCAUAACCUUCUAUUGAUGUUGGAGACAAAGUAAACCCUAAUUAAUUUAACAAAAAAAAUUAAUUAGGUCUUGACAGAUGUGACAUUUUCAAUAAAUUAGAUACUUGUUUGGAAUGUUUAAAAAGGUUGAGCCCAAUUUGGAAUAACACUAAAAAGUUGGAGAGUUUUAGGUAUUUAAUCCAAAAUAUUAUUAUAUCAUGUUUGUUUUUUGGGGCCCAAAUUUGGAAUAUAUCGCCGCACACGAUUUACUAGUUGAAGAAGUAGCAAGUAAUCUUAUAAAUAUACAAGAUCAAUUGCUACUUAUUAAUUUACUAAUUAGGUUGCUACCUAUGUUGAAGAUGCAUGUUUCCUACUUGAGGUAGCAAAUUUAACUUUGCUACUCAAUUGCUACCUCUCUUAGACCAUUUUCAACCCUUGGGUUAAAACCAAAACUUUUUAACCCAGAAAAUGUAGGUUUUAACACAGAAACAAUUUUUGUCACAUGGGCCUGGGCCCCCACCACAUCCCCGGCUCGACUCCGUCAUAACACGAUAUUGUCCGCUUUGGGCCCCAACCAUGCCCUCACGGUUUUGUUUCUGGGAACUCACACGAGAACUUCCCAGUGGUUCACUCAUCAUGGGAUUGCUCUCACAUGAACUUGCUUAACUUCAGAGUUCAGAUGAAACCUGAAGCCAGUGAGCUCUCAAAAGGCCUCGUGUUAGGUAGAGAUGGCAAUAUACAUAUAAGGUUUAUAAGAUCCACUCCCCUGGGCAAUGUGGGAUGUAACAAUCCACCCUUUUAGGGAUCGACGUCCUCGUCGGCACACUUCUGGCCAAAGAUUGGCUCUGAUACCAAAUUGUCACAUCCCGGCCCGGGCCUCAUGAUUUGUAGCAUCCCACAUCAUCCAGGAGAGUGGAUCCCGUAAGCAUUAUAUGUAUAUUUCCAUCUCUACCUAGCACGAGGCAUUUUGGGAGCACACUGGCUUCGGGUUCCAUCGGAACUUCGAAGUUAAGUGAGUUCGCGUGAGAGCAAUCCCAUGAUGGGUGACCCACUGGAAAGUUCUCGUGUGAGUUCCCAGAAACAAAACCGUAAGGGCAUGGUCUGGGACCAAAGCGGACAAUAUCGUGUUACGACGGAGUUGAACCUGGGAUGUAGUGGGGGCCCGGGCUGGGGUGUGACAAUUUGGUAUCAGAGCUAAUCCUUUGCCAGAAGUGUGCCGACGAGGACGUUGGGCUCCUAAGGGGGGAUGAAUUGUAGCCAUCCCACAUUGCCCAGGGGAGUGGAUCCUAUAAGCCUUAUAUGUAUAUUCCCAUCUCUACCUAGCACGAGGCCUUUUGGGAGCUCACUAGCUUCAGGUUCCAUCAGAACUCCAAAGUUCAGCGAGUUCAUGCGAGAGCAAUCCCAUGAUGGGUGACCUAUUGGGAAGUUCUCGUGUGAGUUCCCAGAAACAAAAUCGUGAGGGCGUGGUCGGGGCCCAAAGCAGACAACAUCAUGCUACGGCGGAGUUGAGCUCGGGAUAUGGUGGGGGUUCGGGCCAGGAUGUAACAGUUUUUUUGCUUCAAUAAUUAUGGGUUAAAAUUUUAGCAUGAGAUUAAUAAAGAAUGAAUUUAAGCUAAUUUUUUUUUUCCAGUAACUUUGUCCUAUAUUUUUAUGAACAUUUUAAUCUAAAAAUAAUUAGAAUUUGAGAAAAGUUGAAAAUUAACUAAACUGACCCUAUGAAACAUGUAUUUAUAGAGUUUUUUUUUGGUGAAUUUUGAUUUAAAUAUUCUUUUAAUUGUUUUUGACACACCUUGACCCAGAAUGUCCACUUGGACUCCCAAUCGAGCUGUGCUGGUUAACACCAGGAGGGUGAUGAAGCCAUAAAGAGUAGUGAUGUGGAAAAUGUGAGUAACUUUAAACCUAAAAGUGCCUAAAUGCAAGAGUGCACAUGUGAGUGGGAAUGAACUCAUUUCACACGUGAUGUCAAAUCAUAAGUAAAGUACAGUGAAAUUAGAAUAAGAACUAUACCAUCGAAAUUAGUAUCCGAUAUCAGCGUUUGCUAAAAAUCAUCGUCGACAUGAACACUGCUACUAAAUCCUGGAGGGACGAAAAACAAGGGUAAGUGGGUCUAAAAACAAAACUUUAUAAAACCUUUUUGAAAAUGUAAUAAACCAUCUUCGGAAAACAAUUAUAGUUUCCAAAUAUAACAUAAUGCAUAUAGUAUGAAAUUACUUAUCAUAGUUUACAGAAUGGACAAAACGCAACAUGUACACUAAGGUCUGGAUAGUUCGUUCAGACUGGCCGUUAGUCUGAGGGUGAAAUGUGGUACUGGACAGACAACUCAUAGCCUUUAAGAAGGCUUCCAAAGACUUGGAAGUAAAUCAUGCAUCACAGUGAGAUACAGUAGUGAUGUGUACACCAUGUAGCCGAACAAUGUAGUUCACAACGCUUUAGCGAGCAUAUUCAUAUUGAAUUUCUCUUGGAUUUAGCAAAAAAACUAUCUCGAUAAGGCUAAAAGAACACUCAGGAAUUUGAGGGUCAAAACAAGUCCAUCAAAUCUAGAAUACAAGGUAAUUGGAAUGAAUGCAGGACAUCUCGCUACAAUGGUAGCUUUCAGAAGAUUCAAUCACCAACAGUAAAGAUUCAUUUAGUAGAGUAUUUGUUAGGUGAUUAAGAGGUUAGCGGUCACAACUAAAAUUUUAAUGUCAGCGAUUCUUCUAGACAAUCUAUCUGCCUAAAAAACAAUACGAAGUGCAGUAAGGUAGACACGUACCUAAAAUUGACUAGGAUGUCUUCCAAUACAAGCAGGUGACUAUGGAAUCAUGGUUAAGUAGAUGUCAAUCAAAACGCCAGAAAAUCUAAAAUGUUUUUAAGAAUGAGUAAUUUUGCCAAGUGGUCUAAAACGUAGUCCCUCUGACCAACGGAAAGUGAGUUGAUAGUUGGUCAAUGAUCACCAAAACGUCAUCAUAAUCUCCACAUGUACAAGAUACCACGUACAGGGAGCUUAUGGUGAUAUUCCCCAUCUCUAUUUAAAUAUAGGAAGUGAUUAUAACCACUCGAACGAUUUCUUGAUGAUUUGUAAGUAACAUCAUAUCAAUACUUGUGAAUUCCAGCUGAAAUGGGAUAGGAUAGGCUAAAAGUGUUCAAGGGUAGAUAUAUCUUUUGUUGCGGUAAACAGUGAUUACGUUUGCACAACCGUGGUAAUACACAAUAGUGCGAUUGUAGAUGUUGGUUUGGUUUCUCUAUCACCAAUGUCAGAAAUUUAGUUCCUUUCAAAUGAAAAUGCAUUUGUGAAGUCUAAGGUUGGUAAAGAUUUUGGACAAGUUUCUCCACAGAGAAGUGUCAUCCGAUUUUCAAGUAAAGAUGAUAACUGUUGGCUCUAAGUCAUGAGUAAGAUGGUUCAUUUCAUACGGUUCUAACUAUUGGGAAACAUAACCAAUACUCUGUCAUGCUGCAUCAGCACGCAACCAAUACAUUCAGAAAAAUGUCAUCGUGGAUUUCAAAAUUGUCUAUGUCACCAAAAUGUGUAGGAAUAGGGAAGAGACAACACUUUGCUUGUCAGAAAUUUUAUUCACAUUUAACAUCUAAAACUAAACUAACUUUCCUUGGUCAACAAGUGAGGUAAAAAAUAACACUAUAGCUGAAAAAUCGCUAAUAAAUCGCCAAUAGAAAUCGAUCAAACCAAGGAUAUCUCGUAUUUCACAACACUUAGUGAGGAUUUCAACUUUCUUCCGCUACUACCUUUUGGGGAAAUGAAACGAAUAUUGUCUGCUAAGAUCACGUCUCCUAAGAAAAGUACUAAUAAAAACAAAUGUAACAUUUGAAGAAUUUGGUAUAAGUUGACUGUCGGUGUUUGGAAAAUUUGAUUUUGUUGUUGGAGUAUGUGAGAAAGUCGUCGAUAAGACUACUAUGAAUCCGUUAGGCUACAGAAGAAAACUUGGGCUCCAAAAAUUGGUCAGGUAAACCAUCAAUUCGAAGUAUAGGUUAACGGUUUUAAUCAUCACCCGACUGAGUUGCUAAAAUCUAGGUACAAUCCUAAGGUUUAGUCUUUCACCUUCGUGGUUAGGUUUGAGGCUCUCCAGAUAAAGUGUUGGGUUUGUGGUUUUUAAUGAUGCAGGAGUCCUUCAUUUCACGCCGUGGCGGUAUCUUAGAUAAAUUUUAAGAAGUGACGCCAGUUAUAAUUCCUCGAACCGUACCAUACUACCUUCUUUCUCCACCACACAGAAUAAUAGGCCACACUACUUUUUCAAUAUUCAUUUCGCCCUUAUGGCGGGAAGAAUAACUCGUACAUCAAUUUUUAAUAUUUGCUUAUAGAAGUGACCAUAGGGAUGACUAGUAGUCAAAAAAUGACAAUUUUCGGUCAAUGCUUUACCAAAGGGAUAAUUACGAUGUCGUCAAUUCAUAUAUUGGAUGACGUGGAAAUCCACGAUAUCCAAUGAAAUGGAUUAACGGGCAUCAUUAGAUUGGUAAAAAGAAAAGUGCAUCCACCGUAUCUGCACGGGACAAGACAAACUUUGCCUCGUGGCAUUAGGAUUCCCAAAACUUACCCGGCUAGGGUACCAGGUGAUUGAAAUAUUUGAAUAGUUAAAGCUGAUAUGAUGAAUUGAAUGGUACCCAAAUCAAACAAAAUUCCUAACGAUAGGGUCAACACAACUAUAAGUUUACUGUCAUCCAAAAAGGCUUGCUCCUAAAUUUUCACGAUUUAAUUUCUUCGGCUCAGGUAGUCAUUGUUAAUUAGUCCAACAAUCGCACAACUAAUUAACGCAUUUAUGAUAUUUUAGUAUUUUUUGUUACCUUUAAAUUGUGAACCGGUGUUUUGGCACAAAGGUAUCACUCCCAGAUACUAGCAUGUGCCCGGUAUCAGAAACCAUACUGCCUGAAUAUUCGUUGACAACUCUUAGAUAUCAGACAAUAUCAUCAAUUAGUAGCAUCACCGUAGGUUAAUUACAAGUUUGAGUGGAUAGUUUCAGUUGAAUGUAGAGGAAAUUGAUUACUGCUAAUCAAAGGUAUAAUGAUUCGUACUGCCAUGCCUAUACCCAUCGCAAUGACGACUAUAUCAUCAAAAGAAAUUAUGGAAAUUAGUUUUGGUUGAAGUGUUCUAAGGUUAGAGAAAUGAAUUUGCUAAUAACCUACUUUAGAAUAGACUUGAAUGAAAAUCGAUCUUCCUCCUGAAGAUUCGGAAUUAUCACUAUGUUCGAAAAAUUUGUAUUAUCGGGGACCAAAAGUGGUUGUCCCUUAGAUGUUCUUCUGUCGAGUGCUACCAUUUUAGCACCAGAUUGUUGCUUAGGACAUUUCUGGAAAUCUCGACAAAAGUAAAACUUCGUAGGAAUUGUGAUAGAUGGUACGUAUACUAACAGGUGCUGCCAAGGAAUCAAAACUAUUUAUGGGUUCCUAACUCGAAAAGGUUGGUAAUGACGACGAGAUAAUAGUAGUGGGAUUAUUAGGUAAAUCUCCGGUGGUGUGUAACUACCGAUGCCAACAAUUUAUCUAUACUCUAAAUCUUUCCUUGGCAAGGAAAUCAUCACUUAAAGUCUGAUGGCGUUUGCUAAAACAAUUUUCUAGAAUGUCAAUAAGUCACCUAAUCCACCCAAAACUUAGGAAAAGCUAACACGUUUUUGGUAUUCGACGAGGUGGCAAGAUUCGACAUUAGGGUAAAAAAUUGAGAACUUACAUCACGUGUGUGAUGAACGCAAUACUGCCCAAACUUAUGCUCUAAUACCAAACUGAUACACCCUAACCCGGAAUGUCCACCUGGACUCCCAAUCGAGUUGUGUUGUCUUACACCAGGGAGGCCAUGAAGCCAUAAAGUGUAGUGAUGUAGAAAAUGUGAGUAAAUUAAACCUAAAAGUGCCUAAAUGAAAGAGUGCGCAUGUGAGCGGGAAUGAACCCAUUUUACACGUAAUGUCAGAGUAUAAGUAAAGUACAGUAAAAUUAGAAUAAGAACCAUAACAUCAAAAGUAGUCUCCAAUAUCAGCGUUUGCCAGAAAUCCUUGUAGACACGAACACAUCCACUAAUACUGGAGGAGCAAAAAACAAGGGUGAGUGGGCCUAAAAAUAAAACUUUAUAAAAACCUUUUCGAAAAUGUAAUAACUCCUCACCAUAAAACAAGUAUAGUUUCCAAAAAUAACAUACGUAUAAUAUGAAAUUAGUUAGCAUAGUCAGCAGUAUCUCAAGAAUGCAAAACGUCACAAACCUUUGUAAAUAAACACAUGACGACCGCAAUCACAUAAUCUUGCAUAAGCAAACACAUCAUAUCAAGUGCUCAUCGACACAUGCUGACACAUUAGUUCAUGCAGAGGUAUUCUGAUAUGAACAAGACUGGGUAUAAUAAUGAUUUACGCUUUAAUACUACAAUCAGGUGAAGACUGGCACUAUACGUAUCACAUACGAGUCCUAAUUGCCUAUAGCAAUUUAGGACAGGACUGGCACCUACAAUGGAUCCAAAGUGAGCAUAAGGUGCGAUGUGAACAUACACGUGAAAGACUGGCCCCAUCCCUGGACGAGUACUAACACCAGUCCAGUACACGAUGAGCAAAUAAGGUAAAUAUAAACAUGCCAUAGUGAUUCAAUAAUUUGAUAAUUCUAAACAUGCCACAUGUGAAAGACUAUACAAAAUUGAGGCUUAACGGAGGCUGGAGACGGUUGUAAAAGGGGUCUGAAAAUGGCCCAACAGCUACGGUUCCACUUCCCAGAAAUCUAGGAAAAACUUCCCCAAAACACAUGUAUAAACUCGGACUUGUAUCCAGAAGUCCAAACUAGGGUGAAUUAGGUUGAUUUCUAAACUCACCAUCAUUGAAAGCCAAGGGUGGUGGUGGUCCUAUACGAUUCUUCCACCAUGAAAAUGGUGAUGGUAUGGUGAUUUGGAUCGUCGGCAUAAACGAGCUGGAGUGGUGGCUCGAUUUGUUUUGGGUGUCGCUGCCUCUGUGUUUACAGAGAGGGCGAUAUAGUUUUGAGAAGAGAGCUGAAAUGAGUUGAGAGAGAAGAGAAACGAUGAAGGUUCGAGAGAAAGUGAGAUGUGAUAUGGCAUGAUGGUUUUCUUCAAUGGACAUGGAGGCUUCACCGCUGGUCAUUUCUACGGUUGCAGACGAGAGGUGUUGGAGAGCUGGGAGAAAUGAAGGGGAAGAAAGAAAGUGAAACAAGUUAGAGAAAGAGGGAUCCGAGUUAAAGGAAGAAAGGGGACAUGGGAGUGAGGGAAAAGAGUAGGGUGUGGGCCCCACUAGCUCACACUCCAAUCCCAUAAAAGACAAACACCGAAAAAAAAUCUCCGUGACAUGAAAAUACCGAAGUGCCCCUUACAUUCGUAGUUUCAUAAAAUUUUCGUCGUAGCUCCGAAUUCGAUUUCGCUUGCGCCUACAUGUUCGUACUGUCGAGUACUUCGAGAAUAUAGCAAAAUAAUAGCUCGUAUGCAUCUCGACAUAACGAUAAAUGAAAGUCAACAAUCUCGCCUCUAGGGGCAUUUUGGUCAAAUCACACAUUUAAACUUAAUAAAAUCAUAAAAUUAGGGACGGAUUGUUACAGUUUUAUCCAUAAAGUUUUAGGCUAUCAAAUCAUAUUCGAACUUAGCCAUUGAAUUUAAUACAUUUGAAAAUAUAAAAUUGCCCAAGUUUUAGGUUUUAACCCAAAAUUUAUUUUGGACCCAACUAUUGAAGAAGAAUAAUGUUAGUUUAAAAUCUAAAUUUUGAUGGGCCAACUUUUUAACCCUGGCCUAAAUUCUAGGUUAACAAUUGGCCCAAAUUUUAGAUUUUAACCUAAAACUAUUUUGGACCCAGCCAUUUGAGAAUUAUUGGAUUUAUUUAAAACCUAAAUUUUAUGUUUUAACCCAAAGUGUUCGAGAUAGUCUUAGAGAUGCUCUUAACCCACUAGAAAAGAAAAGAAAACCUUCACAUUUGAAAUCAAAGUAAUUAUAAAAGUCAAUAAAAAGUCCUCUCGAAAGUGUAAUGUUUCAAAAAAAUUUAGACAAUUAUUUAUCAUCAAGGGCACCUCUUCUUAUUAUUAAGGAUAUUUUUUUAUUCUUAAGAAAAAUAUUUUUAAUUCAUGGAAGUGAGAUCCUUUUUUAUUUUUAUUUUUAGAAAGCCAGAACUCUACUUCGAGUCACAACUACAAAACAAAGUGUCAUUAGCGAGGGUCAAAUACUGUUGGAAAAGGCAUUUUGCCAUCGCAACUACUUAUUUCCAAUGGGAAAAAGCCCUCGUUGAGCGUCGGAAAUUGUCCCAUUGGAAAUACUUUUGUUUCGACCAGCCGUUGGAAUUAAUGCAUUUUCAACACACAUGAUUCGUUGUUAAUAAUUAUAUUUAUGUUGGAAAUGAAUGUUCAAAAUGGCAAACUUAUUUUAUUUUCGACAUGGAAUUUUGGUCGCAAAUACUUAUAGAGUUGUUGGAAUUACUUUUCAAGUGACGACAAAUGUUUUUUGCAAUCACGUUUUUCCGACCAAACAAUUGUGUCAGAAAAUUGUUUUCCAACAAAAUCAUCUUUUUUUAUGAGAGUGCACAAUCAUCGCAAUUACAAUUACCGACCAUACAAGGUUGUCGAAAAUACAUAACGGCUUGACAGAAAUAGGCACAAAAACAUAUUUGCUAUGAUCAAGCAUCGUCGAAAAUAUGUACUUCCAACGGUGAAGUUUUGUCGGUAAUACAUAUUUGCAAUGGCAAGCUUCGUCAGGAAUAUAUAUAUUUUCGACAAUGAAGACUCGUCGAAUAUAUAUAUUUGCAAUGGUAAAGUUUUGUCGGUAAUAUAUAUUUUUGACGGUGAAGCUUCAUUGGAAAUAAAUAUUAUUGACCAUAUUUAGUCGUCGCAAAUUUUUUCAUAACCAAUAUUUGGUUGAAAAUGGGUUUUUCCUAUAUGAGCGUCUUUGUUAGAAAUGUGCACAUUAACGAGAGGAAUUUACAAUCAAAAAAGCUAUUAUUCUAUUUAUAAUUAAAUUAUAUAUUGAAAUUAAAAUAUGAUAAAAAUAGGUAUGUAAUCGUUACUAAUAAAUUAACCAAACCAUUGUAUUAAAUUUCUCAAUAUCCAAGCAAGAUUAUUCCUAAAAUUAUUUAAAAAAGAAAAUGGACAAUAGUUAAAUUGGAAAAAAUAAAAAGAACAAUAUCCCACAAAUAAAACCUAACAAGUUCAGAUAUUUGAUAAUAUCAAAAUGAAAGUAUGAUGCACUACUAAUCUUCAUGUUGAGCAUCUGACCAACUUUCAACAUUCUCCUAUCAAACAAACAAUAAAGAGAGUAAGUAAAGAAAUAAUAUAUUAUUCAACAGUAAGACAAAAACAAUAAAAAAUGAAAUAAAACAAUUUACCAUAGAAGCAGAUGGUCCUGAGCGCGCAUAAUUAUUUGAGUUGUUUGGCAUCAAUCUUUCAACUAAUUCUUGCAAAGAAUUCAACUUAUCUGUUAAAGUGUGGACUUGGUCCUUCAAUUGCUCAUGGCUUUCUUCACGUUCUAAGCACAUACGUUUAUUACAACUUUGGCUAUUUGAGAGAUAUGCAUCUUUAGUACUAAAGCCAACACCUACACCAAGAGGACGACCAUGACUUAGGCCACCAAUCACCUCCUUGUAUAUAACCCAAUCAUUUACUUCAUUUUGUUCUUCCAUAGCAGUAUUCUUUUUGUUGUCCAUUUUUUCCUUCAAUAAAAUUGUAAUAUGUAAGCAUAGGUAAUACACACAAUAUCAUGUAAAAAAAAGAUUGAAAUUAUGGUAACAUACAUAAAGUUCUUUAGCCUUUUCACUUACCCAAGUUUCUUCACCUUCACUCUUACGCUUACUCACAUGGAAUUUUUUGAAACAAUCAAUCGGGCUAGGUUCAAUUCCACUACGAUCAAGCUAUUAAGAUUAAAAAAAAAAAGUUCGUUAAAUAAAUUUUAAAUAUGCAAGAAUGACGGUAUGGAAACAAAGCAUAAACAUAGUAUUUUUACCUCAUCUUUUCUAUACUUUGCCAUUGGAACUGAACCUGUGGUGUGCACAAUUGUGGACUGCUCCCUAUUGCAUGCAUUUUGCACACUUUGUUUCUGCAUGAAAAAGAAAGCAAAAUUAAAACCCAAUCAUCUCACAGUAAGCAUAUACAUGUACGAAAAAUAAUAUAUUAACCAUCAUAAGAAGAUAUUUCUUAUAUUAAACUUUUACCUUCUAUUCAGGUUUCUCUCACUUUUCAACCAUUUUACACCAAACAUCUUUAGAUACAUUUGAUGGGCAGUUAAUGUAUCUCUCCCCAGUAGUCUUGUACUUGUGAAAAACCGAAUUCCUUAAUGUGCUCAUCCAAUCGGCUUAUCUUGUUUUAAUAUGUAGUUGAAAAGCAGCCCUCAUCUCUUCUUCAGAACACGUGUAUGUGUAUCUAGUUCCCUUAAAACGAUCAUACAAUUCAUCCAUUGUUCUUUUGGAUAAUCUUUGAAUGUAAUCCAAGGCCCUUUAAUAACUUGAUUAAAGAGCACCCCUAUAGUUCUUGUAGCAUUUGUGGUUACAAUCCUAUGAAAUUAAAAUUAGAUUAAAACACUCACAUAUCUAAAUAGUUAACUAUUUGACAUUCAUGCUUUUAGUGACUUGUGCUCAUUACCUGCUAUCAUGUAUUACAAUCGGAGUGCCAUUCCCAUCUUUACCCUUAGCCUUCCCUCUACCUUUCUUUUUGGUAGGACCUAAUCAAUAAAAAUAAUAAUGAGCAUGUAUGUUUAAUAAAUAACCAAUUACAAAAAUGCACAUUUUCAAACCGAUAUAAAUAAGGUACCUUGGACACUUGAAGGUUGAUUCUCAAUAGAUGUUUGUUGUGUCUCAUGUAUUUUGCUACCAUGUGAUGGUUGGGUAACACCAAGUUGGUCUGAAGAGGGUGUAGGUGAAUGAGUAGUAGUGUGCGGUGCUCUAUUUUGACUCAUUCCUCUUGUUGCCGUGGCUACAAUUUUACAAAGAAAACACAAAGCUAAAUAAGACAUAAUUAUGAGAGAAUUAGUUUCUUUUAGCAUAGGACAAAGUUUAUAAAACAAACAACAACCUUUGAAUCAUGAAAUUAAGCAAACGAAAUAUCACUCUCUUCUAUCUUCAAGUAUACUUUGAAGUUAAACUAUACAUUCCAAUUUAAUAAUUGGUUUUAUAUCUAACCGUUCAACACUAGUUUGAUAUAAUUUUUUUUAAGGAUAUAUUAUUAAAAAUCGAACCAAAUUAAACUGAAUUUGUGCAUAUAUUGUUUUUUUUUUUCAUCAUGAUUUUAAUAAGUGUAGAGGUCGCACUUGGUGCAAUGGCAAGUGCCUUCGCCCAUGAGCGGUAGGUCUCGGGUUCGAGACUUGGGAGCAGCCUCUCCAUAAAAUGGGGGUAAGGCUAGCCGACAUUCACCUCUCCCAGACCCUGCGUAAAACGGGAUCCUUGUGCACUGGGUACGACCUUUUAUGAUUUUAAUAAGUGUGAGGCAAACGGGGUUAGUUAAUUUAAACUGCAAAAAAAUUAGUUUUUAAUCAAGUGCAUGGCAAACAUGGUUGGAUUGUUUUUAGCCUAACAUCAAGAUUUAAGAGUUGGCCUACUUGAAAUUGACCUAUUUAUUUUGUUAACCAAAGAAUAAAGUUUUCAACUGAGCAUAUGAUUUACUUGUUUUUAAUUUCUAUCAAGCUUAUUUGAACUCGGGGAUGGGAGAAAAAAAUUGGAGACGAAUCAUCUAGUCCUCUUAGUUGAUCUUCCUUUGUCUUCAGGUAUUUGAUUAUAAAUUUUAUGAUCAAACCCAUACAUUUUUUAUUUUAAUUUCAUGAUGCGUGUUAUCAAACACAAAAAUUGUUAGAAAUUAGAAUGAUUCAAACUAAUCCAUCAUAUAUAUCAUGGAAAAACUACAAGUUUGAUCGUCUAGUCAUAGACCUAAAAACUACCAAAUAAAAAAAACUACAAGUUUGAUCGUCUAGUCAUAGACCUAAAAAGCUACAAGUUUGAUCGUCUAGUCAUGGAAAAGCUACAAGUCUGAUGGCCAAGAACCCAGACUUGAUUAGGCAAAGACAAAAUCCCAUUGUAGCCUUUCUUUUUGUACAUAUAAAUUAAAAAUCCACAUAUAAAAUUACCUUGUAUAUUUGCAUGUUGGGUCUCUUGCAUUUCAUUGUCAUGUAGUUCAGUGGUGGUAUCAUGUUGGUUUAAAGAGAGUCUAGAUGACAGACGACGUGUGCUUGAUGAAUUUUUUUGGCUCCUUCCCUUUUUUGCCAUAUCUAUCAAUCAUACAAAUACAAGAAAAUUAGAUGCCAAUAGUACCGAAAGAUAGAAAAAUGAAAAAACGAAACCAUGAAAGCUAAAAUAAAAUCGACUAGAAUUAGGGUUUCAAUGGCAGAAGGCAAAAUAUAUACAUAAACCCUAAUUGUUAGAAAAUCCCAGCAGCCAUGAAAAAUGAAUAAAAUUGAAAUUUAAUAUAUACAUAAACCCUAAACUUAAAAUUGGCACAAGGAGAACUCAUUGUCACAAAACCUAAACUGGACGAACUAGACAAACAAGAUGACUUUAGGGUUACCUGUAUGCUCACGGUUGUGCACUUCAAAUAUUGAUUAUGGAGAGUUUUUGUUCCCUCCUUUGAAGGUUGGAGGCAUUAAUAUAAAUAAUGGCAUAGAUGCAACCCUAAUCUAAUCAAGAGUGUAGUUUCCCUCCUUUUUUUUUUGGCUGUGGGCGGAACAAAUUUUAUGAAACAUUUUGGAAAUUGGGGGAGAAAAGGGAGGGACAUGCCAAAACCCUAAUUAAUUUGGAAAAAAAGCCAAACUGCUUAAAUUGCAUAAAAACAAGAGUUUGGGAAUUGUGGGAAAAAGAAGAGGGAAGCCAAAUUUAUUUUUGAGAAACGGCAAAACACUAAAUUCUACAAACAUUUUUUUUAAAUAUAAAAUAAUAUUGUUCCAUACCAUUCAUUUAAGGAAAAAAGCCAAAACCCUGAACAUUAUCAAAAAUUAAUAUUUGCAGUAUGGAAAAUUAAUUUGAAUGAUCUAACAGUCAAAUUUGUUCUAUAUGCUUCAAGAUCGCAUACAUAAAAAAUUGCAAAAAACGGACAUUCAGAUAUUAGGUAACGAGACGAGACAUUUUGACGGUUAUAAACGCAAACUCACGAUUUAAUUGUGAUCUUAACUCCGAUUUUGAUGAUUUUUUACAAAUACACUCCUCAACCCUAUAAGACUAUGAUGAAUGAAUUUGAUCAUCAAUUUAAAAUAUUUGCACUAAUGGAUACCACAAAUUAUUAUGUUCAACUUAAUGAAAGUAUAAAAUAAACUCCAAGUGUUUUUUGAAUCUGUCGUUUUGAAGGAAUACACAUUCUACAAAACUAGUUUCAACGAUCCAACCGUCAAACUUAUUGGUAUAUGCUUCAAGAUCGCAUCCAUAAAAAAUUGCAAAAAACAGACAUUCAGAUAUUAGGUAACGAGACGAAACCUUUUGACGGUUAUAAACGCAAACUCACGAUUUAACGGUGAUCUUAACUCCGAUUUUGAUGAUUUUUUACAAAUACACUCAUCAACCCUAUAAGACUAUGAUGAAUGAAUUUGAUCUUCAAUUUAAAAUAUUUGCAGUACUGGAUACCACCAAUUAUUAUGUUCAACUUAAUGAAAGUAUAAAAUAAACUCCAAGUAUUUGUUGAAUCUGUUGUUUUGAAGGAAUACACAUUCUGCAAAACUAGUUUCAACGAUCCAACCGUCAAACUUAUUGGUAUAUGCUUCAAGAUCGUAUUCGUAAAAAAUUGCAAAAAACAGACAUUCAGAUAUUAGGUAAUGAGAUGAGACCUUUUGACGGUUAUAAACGCAAACUCACGAUUUAACGGUGAUCUUAACUCCGAUUUUGAUGAUUUUUUACAAAUACACUCCUCAACCCUAUAAGACUAUGAUGAAUGAAUUUGAUCUUCAAUUUAAAAUAUUUGCACUACUGGAUACCACAAAUUAUUAUGUUACACUGAAUGAAAAUAUAAAAUAACCUCCAAGUGUUGUUGAAUCUAUCGUUUUGAAGGAAUACACAUUCUACAAAACUAGUUUCAACGAUCCAACCGUCUUGGUAUAUGCUUCAAGAUCGCAUACAUAAAAAAUUGCAAAAAACAAACAUGCAAAUAUUAGGUAACGGGACGAAACCUUUCAAUGGUUAUAAACGAAAACUCACGAUUUAACGGUUAUUUUAACCCCAGCUGAUUUUUACAACUACACUCCUAAGCCCUAUAAGAGUGUGACGAACGAAUUCGAUCUUCAAUUUAAUAUUUGCACUAAUGGAUAAUACUAUUUUAAUAUGAUUUUGUGUUUUUUUUUUGUCGAAAAUACGGUUUUAUUGUUGCGUCUAUGUAAUAUUUUAAUACCCAAAUUAAUGUAUACAAUCCCUCCACUUUAGUACUGCUUAAUUAUACCCAAAAUAAACCUACGUAUAAUUUUAGUUGGGAUAAACAACUCUUGGAUUUGUGAACUCCAAUUCCUCCGUUUUAUGGUUUGGGCAUUCUUGACUUUCUCCCUCCAUUCCGUCGGACGUCUGAAAUCGCACGGGUUGGAACGCUGCUAUUCUCUUCCUCCGCUGAGAAGUUUGUGAAAUCACACGAGUUGGAACGCUGCUAUUGGUUUGGGUAUGCUCUCUGUGACUCCACUUUUGCUUGAUUCUAUUUUCCUUUCUUAUUUGGAUCAAUGGAAUUUUGGGUUUUCUUUUUUAUGUUUAAUUUUCUAUAAUUUUAUUUGGCUCUGUUUGCGGUUGAGGGUAGUUGGAAGAAAAGCAUGUAUUCUGUAAUCCAUUGCAAACCCAGAUGGACCGAGGAUGCAGAGGAGAUUCGGUUCCCUUUUUUUUUUUUGCUUCUAAAAGCAUAUUUACUUUUGGUUGUAUUGGACUCUCUGAGAUUCUUAGGAGAAGAAUGUUUGCUUCUAAAAGCAUAUUUACUUUUGGUUGUAUUGGACUCUCUGAGAUUCGGUUCCCUUUUUUUUUCUUCUAAAUUCAAUCUUUUAGACAAGCUUUUAAGUUUGGAGUGCGCAGGCUAGGCAGCUCAAUGUUUUGCUUUUUGAAUUGUUUCGUCCUAUGUAGUCCAUUUAUAAAGUGUAAAAUCUCCAAGCACAGUUUUUGUUUUUUUAAACAAUUAUUCUCUGCGGUGUUUCGUGUGUGAGGACACAUGCUUAUUCUCAGUGGUAUUCUAAUUUGUUUAGUUGGCUAUAGAAUAAGUUUUUUUUAAUCAAUUAUCCUGAAAUAAACUCUCCAACAAGUGAUGUAUGAAAUGAAUUGGUGUAUUAUUUUAUAUGGAAUGACAUGAAGACUGAAUUGGAGUUAUGUAAUUUGUGAUUUUUGUUGUUCGUCUUGCUGAGAUUUUUGUUAAUUUUGUACCACUCUGUGUUGCAGUGGUAUCACCAUUGCCACCCAACAGACCCAAUUGGCUGUAGUUCAAUUAUUGUUCUUGGAGGGAGGUAAAGCUAUUAUCUUUUUGUUCAAAGUGUUGGUUUUUUUUAUUUGGCUGAUAUAUUUUGUGUUUUUUUCUUUGUUGGUUUAGCCUAUAUCGAAUUCUGCUAUGUCUUAGUGUUCACGUAUGCCCUAUAAGUGGUGAUUUUUUCAGUGUGACUGUCUAUAACAUUACAUGGUGUUCACAUGCCAUCGUUUUGUUAUUGGUAUUUUGUAUUUGUUGUUGCGUUUCAUUCCGCUUUGAUAGUGUUUAAUAGAUAACACUAAAAUUCUGCCAAUUAUGUUGGUUCACCGUAAGUUCUAUGCUUUACAAUAAACUGAACACUUGCAGUAAAAAUGUUGAUUAUCUUACAUAAUUGCACAGUGGAUUUAUGGGUAUGCAUCAUGUGUGUUCAAUACAGAGAGUUUGUUUCUUUUUUGUUUUUCUUUGAGGCACAAAAAAGGCAAUCUGUUUUGCCUUUUUUUUUCUUUUUUCUUUUCUCUUUCACUUUUUAUUGGUUCAAAUAAUAAAGUUACGAUUGAAAAUACCUUAUUUUGAUUAUUCUUCAUCAAACUUAACCAUGUCAACCCCUCAUAUUGCUUACGUUAGUAGAAGAAGUUUUGCCCUCUUUUCUCAUUUUUAAACACGUAAAAAGAAAAUGUCUUUGUGUUUUUUCUUUUUUUCAUUAGCUUUGCACUGAAUGGUGUUUUUUCUUUUUUUUCCUUUGUUUUGCACUGAAAGGAAAAGAGUGGCUCAGUGAUUUGGUUAGCGUUUGAACGCUUAUAGGGAUCAAAUAUAGAGUCAAGGGAUUUCAAUGCAGUGUUUUGGUUUGCUAUUAUUUUCUAUUAUGUAAUUAAAAUAUCAUGUCCUGCUGAAAAAAUGAUACUGACGUUAAUACUGAGAAACGCAAUACGUUUAUAGCAUUCGAUAAAGACUGUUCGGUUCUUGCGCGUGUGUGUCCCCCCAAUUAGACACUAUGUGUGAACUUUGUUCCAUGCAGGGAAAAAUGCCAAUCGAUAAAUGUUGGAUGCAAUCUGGGAGGUCAUCCGAAGAUUAUUUUAACGGAGUUGAAACUUUUCUUGAUUAUGCAUACAACCAUCUUCAGCUGGACGAUGCUAAAAUUUUAUGUCCUUGCGUCAAGUGUAGUAAUAGAUACAAAAAAGUUAAGGUUGAAGUACAACAACAUCUUCUUUAUAAUGGAAUUAUCAAAAAUUAUACUAGAUGGUAUUUGCAUGGGGAGGAUGAGAAUGACGAGACUGAUGAAAGCAACAGUGACAGUGAUAGUGAUGGUAAUGAGAAUGAUGUGAUCAAUAUGGAACAAGAUGAUGAUAUGCAUGGUUUAGUAGAAGAAGGCUGUCCACAGGACCCAAAUAAAGAUGCAGAAAAGUUUUACAAAUUGUUAAAAGAGGCAGAGCAGCCAUUGUACGAUGGUUGUAAGUCGUAUUCCAACUUGUCCUUUGUUGUCAACUUGUUGCAUAUCAAGAGUACUGGUACUAUGAGCAACAAAGCUUUUGGUGCAUUGCUAAAAUUGUUGAAGGAUGCCUUUUCUUUCUGUGAAAAGUUACCUACAAGCAACGAUGGUGCAAAGAAAAUUGUUGCAGAAUUAGGUCUUCAUUAUGAAAAGAUUGAUGCAUGCAAGAAUGAUUGCAUUAUUUAUUAUAAGGAGCAUGCAAAUGCAACGCAAUGUCCUACAUGUAAGCUUUCGAGGUGGAGAACACAAGAAAAGGGUAACAAAAAGAAAGGUAAAAAGGUUCCCUGGAAGAUUCUGAGAUAUUUUCCACUCACGUCAAGGCUUCAGAGAUUGUAUAUGUCAUCAAAGACAGCUGCAGAUAUGAGAUGGCAUUCUAAAGAUCGUGUGAAAGAUGGUGUAUUGAGACAUCCAGCAGAUUCUGAGCAGUGGAAAUCUUUCGAUCAAAUUCAUGAGUCAUUAGGUAUUGAACCUCGAAAUGUACGGCUUGGUUUGGCAACAGAUGGAUUUAACUCUUUUGGGAAGAUGAAUCUUCGCCAUAGUACUUGGCUAGUUCUCCUAUUCCCGUACAAUCUUCCUCCGUGGAUGUGUAUGAAAGAGCCUUAUACUUUCAUGUCCUUACUUAUGCCUGGACCAACAAGUCCAGGUAAUGACAUAGAUGUAUAUUUGAGGCCAUUGAUUGAUGAGUUGCAAACACUAUGGGAAAAUGGUGUGGAAACGUAUGAUAUAUCUACAAGGCAAAAUUUUCAAAUGAAAGCUGCACUUAUGUGGACUAUCAAUGAUUAUCCGGCAUAUGCUUACAUGUUAGGUUGGAGCACUCAAGGAAGAUUGGCAUGCCCAUAUUGUGCCUCUAAGACUUCACAUCGCAGGUUAUCUAUGGGUCAAAAAUGUGUUAUAUGGGUCAUAGACGAUUUUUACCGUCUAACCACUCAUGGCGCAAGCAAAAAAGUAAGUUCAACAAUACAAGAGAGAAAACGGUUGCACCCAGUAGACCAUUUGGUGAUGAUGUUAUACAAGAACUGGAUGAAUUAAGAAAAAUAACUCAUGGCAAGCAGAACAAGCAGACGAUACCGGGGUUUGGAAGGAGGCAUAAUUGGAAAAAACAUUCUAUAUUUUUUCAAUUACCUUAUUGGAAAACACUUUUGGUGCGUCAUAACUUAGAUGUUAUGCACAUCGAGAAAAAUGUAUUUGAGAGUGUGAUUGGCACAAUGAUGAGCAUUGAUGGUAAGACAAAGGAUUCUUUAAAUGCUCGCCUUGAUCUUCGCGAAAUGGGUAUAAGGGAAAGAUAUCAUCCAAAAGUAAGAGAAGAUGGUAAGCUUGAUUUCCUCCCAGGUGACUAUACAUUGUCAGACGAUGAUAAUAGAGUUUUAAGUAAAUGGUUAUCUGAAUUACAAGUUCCAGAUGGAUAUUCUGGAAAUUUAUCUCGAUGUGUGGCUACUGGAGAACGUAGUAUUUCUGGUAUGAAGACCCAUGAUUGUCACAUUUUCUUGGAAAGAUUACUUCCCUUUAUAGCUCGAGAGUUAUUGCCUAAAGACGUUUGUGAGCCCCUUAUUGAGCUUUCUUAUUUUUUCAAGGAAUUGUGUGCUAAAGUGUUGAGAGAAGAAGAUUUGAAUGUUCUUGAAAAUCAAAUUGCUAUUACAUUAUGCAAGAUGGAACAAAUAUUCCCUCAUGCCUUCUUUGACAUCAUGAUUCAUCUAACUUGCCAUUUAGCAUGGGAGGCAAAAAUGGCGGGUCCAGUGCAACAUAGGUGGAUGUAUCCUGUAGAAAGGUAAUGUCAAUUUUCAAAUAUUAUUAUUACAUAACAUUUUAUUUGAUAUUAAGUUAUAUUCUCUAAUUUCAAUUUUUUACUAUUUGGUUAGGUAUUUACAUAAACUAAAAAGUUAUGUUCGUAAUAAGGCUCGUCCAGAAGGAUCUAUUGCGGAAGGCUACUUGGGAGAUGAAUGCAUAACAUUUUGCUCUCGUUAUUUGCAUCGAGUUGAAACUAAGUUUAAUCAAAGGGAUAGAAAUGACGAUGGAGGUCAAUCGUUAUCUAAUACAUCUCGAUUACCUAUUUUUUCAACACCAGGUAAAUCUUUUGGGAAAGGUGUACUUGAAGAGAUAGGUAUCGAACUCCUUGAGGCUGCCAAGUUUUAUGUCCUACAAAAUUGUGAUGAAUGUUUACCUUUUGUUCAGUAAGAAAUCUCUCAUUACCAUACGAACUUUCAACAUUCGAUCUUUUACUACUUAUUUUUAGUAUUACAAUAUUUUAAUAUAUUAAUUUAACUAACUCCUUGUUAUAUGCGCAGAGAACAUAAGAAUAUUCUAAUGCAUUCUGGUGUUAGGAAUGUGGAGGAGUCACAUAGGCUUCAAUUUUCAAAUUGGUUUCAUGAGAGGGUAUGUAUACUAUAUUAUGUGAAAACUGUUGAUUAUUAGAUAUAUUGUUUCUACAAUAUUUUUCUUUCUAUAUAUGCAGAUCAAACAACUAUACUAUGAUAACAAAGUUGAUAAGCAAAUGCUUUCGUUGGCUCUCGGUCCGGAAAGGCGAGUAAAAUAUUAUCCUGGUUACUAUAUGAGUGGGUUUAGAUUUCAUACAUUGCAACGUGAUGAGAAUAAAAAAACACAAAAUUGUGGAGUUAUGGUUAAGGGGGAGAAUCAGAUUGAUAGUGUGCCUUGGUAUGGAGUAUUAAAAGACGUGGUUGAGCUUCGUUACACAGAAGGCAAUAAAGUUGUAUUGUUCAAUUGUGAGUGGUAUGACAUUGUGCGAAAAGGAACAGGUUAUAAGAUAGAUCGUUACGGAAUAAUUAGUAUUAAUACAACUCGCAAGUUGAAUACUAAAGAGCCAUUUGUGUUGGCAAACCAAGCAACCCAAGCUUUUUAUGUGAGAGAGAUUAAAACUAAGGCUUGGAGUUACGUGGUGGAAACGAAGCCUAGAAAUGUUUAUGAGAUGCCUAAUGUGGAUGAUGAUGAUGAGCCAUACCAAGAAGAAGAGGCAUAGGGGUAUUCAAGCCAACCAAAAUGAUGACGAAGAUGAUGAAAUUGUGGGAUAAACUCUCAUUGUGAUUGUGUUUUUUUUUUUUUUUUAUCUAAAAAUUUAGUUGCGGAAGUGAUGUGGUUAUACUUUGUUCAAUGUCAAUGACAAAUGUUAUGAUUUAACAAAGGCAUGCAAAUUAUUUCUUUAUCAUAGAAUACUAAAUUAAGUUAUACACUUUUUUACUCAAUGGUUUUAUUUUUAAUUUAAUGGUCCAAUUUUCUCCAUAUGUAUUCUAAGUUAUAUGAUCUAUUUAUUGUAGAAUUUAAAUUAAGCAUCAAACUUAUUUCAAGAAUAUUCAAAUGACACAUGUGACCUUAAGUAAAUAAUUGAUUCCAACAAAACCAUAUGCCUUAAAAUUUAUUCUGACAAAGAAAAAAUCUUGUCGGAAAAAUAUGAUUACUUUCGACAACAACUAAUCACCCUCGAAAAUAUAAAAGCAUUACCGAGAGGACUUUUUUUUCCCUCAAAAUUAUAAAAACAUUACCAAGAGGACUUUUUUUCCCUCAAAAAUACUAAAUCAAUUUCGUCAACAUGAGUAAACCUUCGGAAAUAACCCUUCUAUUUCCGAUAAGAACUUUACUUGUUGUUAAUACAACUGGCGCCAAUUCUUCCCCCCAAACAAAAGUGCAAUUCCGACGAAACUUGAGACUUGUUCCGAGGAUAUCAUGUGCGUUGGUAAUACAAAUUUGUUUCAUGCCAUGUUACCGACGACUCAUAUUUUAUGGUCGUAAAAUGUGCUUUUUACGACGGUUUUUUUGGGCCCUCGAAAAAUCUUCGUCGGUAAUGACUACUUUUUUUGUAGUAGGCUUCACAAAAGAAUAAUGGGACAAAAAGUCCCUAAAACAAUAAAAUUCAAAACUGGCCAAAAAUAAUACAAACAAAUUCAGAGAGAUAAUUUUGUCAUAAAAUGAAAAAUUUGAAAAAAAAAAUAGGAUUAAGUAGACCUGGCAAUUUUUACACAACACGUUAUCGAGUCACACAAUAAGAACCCGUUAAUAACAGGUCUUUAACAGGUUUACAAAAGUGUGACACGGGUAACCUAUUUUGAGAUGUUAAGAAAAAAGUCAUUUUGAUAAUUUUAAUUUUUUUAACUACUAAAAAAACUUACCAUAAAAUACAAUAGUCAUAGUGUAUAUGUAUAUAUUGUAUAUUACUAUAUCAUUGUAUUAUUAUUUUAUAUAAAUUUCAAAAUUUAGGUUUUGUUAAUUUAUUUAUUUUUAUAUUAUACUAUGGACAAAGAGUGAGAUUAAAAAAAGGGAGUUUUAACGAAAAGGGCCUGGAACUAUUCAUUCUUAAUCAUAAGGACAAUUUGUGUAUGAAAGGUCCAUAAUGGAUCAAGUACUUUUCUUUAUUUACUCUUAUGCCAUUACAGCGGGGUCCACAAAGAUGUUGACAUUUCUGUCUGGGAAUACAUUAUUUUACAUUAUGCUAUUAAACUUAUGCUAAUUUUACAGCUAGCUCUUCAGGCUUCCAUCAUGUUGUCGAUGUUAUGUAGCUCUUCUUCUGACAAAUUAUUCAAAUAUUGUUCAUCGCCUUCUACUAGCUCCGCAUCUCUUUCUUUAUCUUCUUUCACCUUGUAAUAUAUUUCUGCUGUUUCUUCUUUGAAAUUUUGGGGCUUCCAAUAAGGCUGAUGAUUGAUUCUUGUCUUGCUGUAAAUAUACAUCUCUUCUUCUUCUGCUACUAGUACCAUGUCAUACCUAAAAUCUUCAAACUCAUCUAAAGCAAACAUUUGGAUCCCUCUAAAUUUUAUAAUAUCUUUGUAUGAAGGAGUCCACCUAUGUGAGGAGAUAGAGUUUAGUCUAAAGGACUCUUCAUUGAUCAUGGCUAUAUGUGUAGCUUUCUCCUUAUGCAUAUGUACAUACCAAUCUGGAGGACUACUAAUAAAACUUAUGCAAAUUUCCUUCCAUCUUUCUAGAUAAUCUUCUGCUACUUUUAUAAGUUUUUCAGGAAAUGAUUCUAGCUGAGAAAUAUGGUUAAUAAAUAUUUUAUCGAGAUAACCAAACUCUAAUAGUAAGGCAGGGGUAACUUCUACCACAUUAUGCUUUUCCUGAUGCUCAUAACUAAAAUGCCAUGAUUUAAAAUCUCUCAUGUUAAUCCUGGCCACAGCUACGCUAACCUCUGGUUUACAAAUACAAUUCUCUGUACUAUCACAAAGACAUGGAGGAUACAUCUUUGUAAUAAUAUCCAUCCCUGGUUUUAGAUCAAAGAUGGACUGAUACAAGGCGCAUUGUAAUUGUAAUUGUAACUCUUUCAUGGACUGUGAUGCUCUGCUCAGGAUCUCAUUUUGCAUAUCUGUUGGCAUUAUUCUUAGUUUCGCCUUUGAAAUUUCUUCAAAUAAGACAUCAUCUAAUAUUAAGUCUGAAGAUAUAUUCCUAAGAAAACUUUCAUAUUUUUCUUGUUUUUCUUUGUCACUCAGAACCUGAUGCUGAUCAUUACUUUGAUGUUGCUCCAUUUCAACGUCUUCUUCUAAGAGCUCAAUCUUAAUUUCUUCUAUGGGCUCAUUAGCCUCUUGUUCUAUGGGUUCAAUAACCUCUUUUUCCUUUAUUCUUAUGAUGAUCAGUUUCUAAACCUAUUUUUAAUUCUCUUUUCAAGGUGUCACUUGCCUUUUGCUGCAUUCUAAGAGAUUGGAGUUCUUGGUUCAUUUUGUUAAACUUACCAAGUAAUGACUCAUGGUCCCUAGAAAUGGCUUGAAGGUUGUGUUCAAGAGAAUGAAUAUGCUGCUGGUUUUGGUGGAAAUUAAAAUUAAAGCUAUCAAACUCUUGUUCGAAGGCUCUAAUUAAUUUUUCAUGACCUAAUCUCAUGCUUGGCUGCUUAAUUUGGAUAUUCCAGAAAUUAUCUAAGAGAACCUGCUGCCUAUCAGAAAGCCCUGGUACCCUUGACCUAUAUCUCAGAGUUGGAUUUCUGAUUCCUUCAACAAUAUUGCCAUUAAAGCUAAACGUUGGUACUGGUGGUGAUGCUGGUCUGCUCAUGCUAUUUUGAAAUCCACUGAAUGGUGGAGGUUGAUGGUGCAUCAUCAUGCCAUUGAAAGAAACUCUUCUGCCUUGCAGCCUUGUGCUAUUUGCUGAUGAUGGUCCACGAUAUUCCAUACCUGUUCAACAAAUUAAUCUUGAUAAGAUAUCAGCUAAUGUAUUGUCAUUACCUUUUAUAUGUUCAAAAAUUGGUUUAAAACCAUUUCCUGUAAUUGAAUCAACAAAAUUAACCCAUCUUCGGGCUGCCUGUUUAUUAGCAUGUAUCUUGUUAUAAUGAGAAACUAUAUUUUGACAAUCUGUUCUAAUCGUAAAUACUUCAUUAUGUAAAAAUAAAGAAAAUUCUUCAAGUGAAUUAAUUAUCCCUAGAAUUUCUAAAUCUAUUGAUGGUAAUCUUGACUGGAUAUCACUAAACUUUCCUGAGGAAUAUCUACAAACUUGUUCGUCAGACUUUGGAGACUCCCUAUGCUUUUUCUGGUAUAGUAUACCUGCCCAUCCUAAUGAUGAAGCAUUUGUUUCAACUAUCUUGUAACUAUUAUCUAGUGGUAAUGUUAAUGGCUUAAGUUUAGUAAUUUCUUGUUUUAUUUUUUGAACUAAUUUAAUAUCUUCACUAUUAAAAUAUCUUUGUCCUAUUUUGCUAGUUUUACUAUGUAAUCCUGCUAUUUUUGUUCCUAAAUUAGGGAUAAAAUUUCUUGCAUAAUUUAGCAAUCCUAAAAACGCUUGUAACUGUUUCUUAUCUUCUAAUUUAUCUGGAAAAUCUAACACCUUUUUAGUUAUAUGAUCUUGUAAUUGUAUUGUACCUGACUUGAUAUACAUUCCUAAAAAUUCUAUAUCUUGCUUUUCUAAUGCUAUUUUAUUUUUGCUAAUCACAAUUCCAUUAUUGAUAAAUUCUUGUAAUACUAUCUCUAAAUGCUUUCUAUGUUCAUUUUUAUUUUACUAUGUACUAAAAUAUCAUCUAUAUAAACACUACAAAAAUUAUCAUAUUUCUUGAAAAUUUGUCCAUCUUUCUUUGAAAGAUCGAUGGAGCAUUUUUAAGUCCAAAUGGCAUAACGAGCCACUCAAAAUGUCCUUCUGGACAAGUAAAAGCUGUCCACUCAAUUGAUUCUUCUGCUAAUCUUAUUUGCCAAAAACCUGAUUUACAAUCAAAUUUGCUAAAAUAUUUACUCUCUUGAAUUUUAUUUAUAAGCUCAUCCUUAUUUGGUAAUUUAUAACUAUCUUCGUAUGUAUUAUCAUUUAAUCUCUUGUAAUUAUAAAUUAUACUAGCCUUACCUCUUUUUAGUUCCGAAUGUUUUCUUACAAUAAAUGCUGCUGAUCUAUGUCUAGACUUAGAUGGUCUAAUUACUUUUAAAUUUAACAACUCUUUUAUUUGCUGCUCAAACUCUUGUUUAUCUAUUAGACUACAAGGCAUAUCAGCCGUCGUAAUGGUUAAAUCUGGGUUAAUUAUAUCUAAUUUUGCUAGUAUUUUAUUUUUACUCCAAUGUAACUGCGGGUCUUCUCCUAUAAUCCUAGUUUGUUCUGCUAAUUGUAACAAUUCUUCUAAACUUUUUGGUCUAUCUAACUGUAAUAUUUCUAUACAGGUUCCUUCUUCUAAAAUCAGGUAUUCAUGUUCAAAAAUGUCUUCAUCAAACUCUUCUACUUUAUUAUGCUCAUCAUUUUCUUUUGAGUUUUCUAAAUGAUAACUAUCUUGGCCACUAGGCUUUUCUAUACUUAUGUUUUUGUAUGCUUCUACAAUAUUACUUUAGUCAGUUAUUGUAAUGCCUCUUUUGAAAAAUGUUAUUGUAGACAUCGAAAUUUCGGUAAAAUAAAUGUUGAUCAAUAAUUAAAAUUUCAACGUUUAUGUGUCACAUAAAUUUUACACAUAGCAUGUGACUAAACGAAAAAUCAAAAUAAAUCGGAAAAGUCAUCAAACAGGACACGUGUCAACACCUGGCAGAAAUGAUUUAUUUCAUCUAAUUAUUUAAAUCCAAAAAAUCAAGUUUUGGAAGUCUAUAAAUAGGAGGUCAAGGCAUUCAUUUUGGGGACCAAUUCAUAACCAAUUCACCUCACACCACAACCUUGAAGCUUUGAAACUCCAAAGCUCCCAAGCAAAUCCCGAAGGAUCAAGAAAUCUCUCUUCGUUCUUCGUCAAAUCCUCAUUCAAAAUCAAGCCCCAACGGCCCUUGAAGAACUUCCACUAAUUCAAGAUCGAGCCCCGACGGCCCUUGAAGAAAGUGUCCAUCAUUCAUCAUUCGUUCAUCCCUAGAUCAAGCCCCGACGGCCCUUUGGAUCAACAACGUCAACAAAUCCGCACAACUGUUUAUCCCAAGAUCAAGCCCCAACGGCCCUUUAGACCAACAACAUCAAAUCCACCCAUUACAAAGAUAGAAUCAGAGGCUAAAUUUGUAAAAGAGAUUGUAACCCCUAAAUCAUCAAUACAAAUAUUAUUUUGUACACGUGUUCUUGUCUCGUUCAUCGCAGGAAUUUCCGUGUUUACAAAUUUGGCACGCCCAGUGGGACCAUCUCUACCUCUCAUCUCUAUCUUUUAAUCCGCAAAAAGCACAAAUGGCAUCAAAGAAGGCUCAAGUUGUUCUCGCAGCCAAUGCAAGGAACAAGAACGUCAUCACCGCAGACGGUGUCACUUCGGGCGUCAUAACUCGAAGCAAGGCAAGAGCUCUUUCUGCCGCCUCUUCUACCCCUACAUCAACUCUGCCAAAGGAACAAGAGCACCCGAGGCACGAACCUGUGAUCACCCUGGCCUCGCUAAGGGCGCCAAGGAAGGAAAGCCCAAUGAAGUACUCUGGUUCCACUCUUUCUGAUGUCGACUCAAGCGGCAGCUCAGCCAUGCAAGUCAUGACUACUGGAGCUACUUUAAUAGAUGAGCAGCUGGCUUAUGUGAAUGAAGCGAUCGCAAGGCUAACACGGAUUAUGGAAGAAAAAGACCAGCAAAUCGCUGUACUCGUCAACCAAUUAGAUGUAAAGCCCGAUGUGAAAAUCGAGCAAGGGGAUGAUUCAGUAAAGAAGGAAAACGACGAGGAUGAAGAGCCUUCGGUGGAGAAAAUCGAUGUGAAGCCGGAACCAGGCCAAGCAGCGGCACUCACGGGAUCUCUUUCUAUCCAACAGCUGCAAGAGAUGAUCGCCAGCACCAUCAAGGCACAGUACGAAGGAAGUUUACAUGACUCCGUACUAUACUCAAAACCCUACUCCAAGAAAAUUGACACUUUGAAGAUGCUAAGGGGUUAUCAGCCACCAAAGUUCAUGCAGUUCGAUGGAAAGGGAAACCCGAACAACAUGUCGCCCAUUUCAUUGAGACUUGCAACAACGCGGGGACAGAAGGAGAUUACCUCGCUAAGCAGUUUGUACGCUCGCUGAAAGGAAAUGCCUUUGAAUGGUACACGGACCUAGAGCUUGAAUCCAUAAACAGUUGGGAGUAAUUGGAAAAGGAAUUCCUCAAUCACUUUUACAGCACUCGCUGCACCGUGAGCAUGCUAGAGCUGACAAGCACGAAGCAAUUGAAGGAUGAGCCAGUCGUGGACUACAUCAACCAAUGGCGCAAUCUAAGCCUCGACUGCAAGAACCGGCUCUCGAAGAUCUCUGCGAUCGAGAUGUGCGUCCAAGGCAUGCAAUGGGGGUUACACUAUAUCCUUCAAGGCAUCAAACCACGGACAUUUGAAGAGUUAGCCACCCGUGCCCACGACAUGGAGCUAAGUAUUGCCCAUCACGGGAAGAAAGAGUCGAUCACUGACUUCAAGAAGGAUAAGGUGUUCUCCCCAAAUGUAGACAAGACUGGGAAGAAGCCCUCCAAGGAAGCGUUCAUCGUCAGCACUGUGCCCGUCAAGACCGCCUCCGCGCCUAUCAAGAUCUCCUCCAAAACCAACGUAAAGGAGAUAAAAAGAAGUGAGCCUCCUCGCACCCAAGAAAGGUACAAAAACACCUUGAGGGAAUUGGAGCAGAAGGCGUACCCUUUUCCUGACUCAGACAUGGAUGCAAUGUUAGACGACUUGCUGGAAAAGAAGGUAAUCGAGCUACCCGAAUGCAAGUGGUCUGAAGAAAUGAAUCGCAUAAACGAUCCUAAAUACUGCAAGUACCAUCGAAUCGUAAGCCAUCCUGUGGGUAAAUGUUUCGUCGUCAAAGAGCUCAUCAUAAAGCUAGCACAAUAAGGGCGAAUCGAGCUAGACCUCGAAGACAUGGCCGCAACACAUACUACUACAAUUGCAUUUGGAUCUUUCGAUCCCGUACCUCUCCAAGCAACACUUGACCAUUCCUAUUAAUGCUCAAGUUGCACGAUACCUUCUGCGCAACCAUUGCCGGGGGUAAACGGACAGGAUGCACAUAUCGAUGAUGAAGAAGGAUGGACAUUGGUGACCUACAAAAAAUAAUGAAACCAAAACCACAAGCCACAAGACCAAAGGUGGAACAAGUGAGAAAGCACUGUCGCCGCAACAGUAGGAAGCCCAAAAGAAAUGUAAAAGUUGAUAAGCCAACGUAUGCUGGGGAACCUAUGGAGCAAGAGCCACGCAUUCCUGUCUCCUUGCACGAGUACUUCUGGAAUGACUUCUUCCAACAGUGCACUAUCGCUGCAUGCCACAUGGUUGAAGUAGAAAUGGAAAAACCUUCAAAAGGCAAAGAUAUCACCACUGAGGGAGAAAAAACUCUCACACUCGAAGAAGGUCUGCCAACACACUUUAGCAUUUAGGAAGCACUACAAUUGCCAAAGAAGAUGCGAAGAGCAUUAGCAACGGUCUUGGAAAGUCCCAAUGACCAUGAAGUGCAAGAAAGCAAGAACGAAGACUUGAAGCCUCAGCCACAUGAAUGUGCCACAUGCUGUGCCAUCGAAGACGCAAUCCAUUUCACCGACGAAGACUUGCUGCUAGGAUCCAAGCCUCACAACCGUCCUCUCUUCGUCUCUGGGUACGUAAGGGAGCACAAAGUCAACCGCAUGCUUGUGGAUGGUGGAUCAGCCAUAAACAUCAUGCCAAAGUCAACAAUGAUUACAAUCGGCAUCAAGGUGGAUGAACUGUCCCUAAGUCGUCUACUAAUCCAAGGUUUUAAUCAAGGAGGACAAAGAGCGAUGGGCAUGAUCCGAGUGGAGAUGACUAUUGGUGAACUCAAGUCAAGCACGAUAUUCCACGUGAUUGAUGCAAGAACUUCUUACGGCUUGCUCUUAGGAAGGCCUUGGAUUCAUGCGAAUGGAGUAGUACCGUCCACCCUUCACCAAUGCUUAAAAUUCUACCGAGAAUGAGUGAAGGUGAUUUAUGACGACACCAAACCAUUCACCGAAGCCGAAUCAUAUUUCGCAGAUGCCAAGUUCUACAUGGAUGAAGACAUGGUGCCUGAAGCUCUUCCAAAAGAGAUCAAAUCCACGGGCAAAACAACACCUAAAAAGCAGGAGUGGCAAGCCAUGCCUAAGAAGCAAGAAGAAGAAGUCAUUCCGUCUUCAAGUAAGAAUGAUGAUGAGCUUGCUAAACCUGCAACAACCAAAGGGAGUAGGACGCCCUCAAAUGGAUCAAACACACCUGUUUUCCGAUACAUCCCGAUGUCAAGAAGAAAGAAUGGUCAAUCCUCGUUCGAAACUAAAGCAAGCAAAGCCGAUGCACAGCGGCACAAGGAUAAUGUAAAGUUGCUCAAGACGAAUGCAGUUUUACCUCUGACACAGCUAAGCAACGCUAAGGUUGCAAAAUUACCACAAGGCUUCGUAAAAGCUCUACCAAAGGGGGCGGAACCAAGUUUUCUCCCAACCAAGAGGAUCAAAGAAGGUUUUGAUCCAAACGCCUGCAAACUCAUGUCAAAAGCUGGGUAUGACUUCGCUUCUUCUUCGAAUCCUGGGAAAAAGGUUUCAAACACCGUCAACAAUAAAGAACGUGACCUCACUGAGACUCAAAAGAAGUUGAAAAAGCAUGGUUACGAAGUUAACAACAACAAAGCUGGACUUGGCUUCACACCAAAUGCACCCGUGAAGAUUUCAAGCAAAACGAAAAAUGCUAGCACUCAACAUAUCAGCGUAAGCAUUGAACAAGAUCGAGAGGAGCCUAAAUCCGCCCCUCGAACGCCAGUCUUCGAUAGGACGAAUCGUUUAAGACCCAGAACGUCAGCCCUUGAUCACAUUGGUGGUCAAAACCGAACCUCCGUCUUCAAGAAGCUUAACAGGCCAACAUCCCGAAGCUCUGUUUUUUAAAGGUUAUCAAAACCUAAGAAGCAAAGCAACAAGGCUAGCUCUCCUCCUCGUCAAUCAGCUUUGGAAAGACUUGAAGACAACAUGAAGUUUUCUAGAAAUAGGGAAACAACGUCAAAGGAAGAAAAGCUCAACAGGCUAGCAGAAAAAGGCGACAUUCGAAGCUCAAUUCCUUCAAGGAUGAAGCGUCAAACAAUCUUGGAGGUUGACGCAAAUGGACCAUUGAUAGUAAGAAGGCGCACCAUCACCCAUACUGGACAAUCUUCAUACCAACAAGCCCAAGAGGACGACACUAAAGAGGAAGUCCAGGAUGUCUUCCACAUCACGAUCCAAGAAGGCAAAGAAGACGAGAUCCCUGAAGAAGAUGUCACUGUUGCACCAUCACAACUUGAGGGUGGGGGCAAGCCACGGUUGACGAUCUCAAGGAGCUCAACUUGGGCACAAAAGAGGAGCAAAAACCUAUCUUUGUAAGUGCACUGCUAAGAGCAGACGAGAUAGAUGAGUACUACCAACUGCUAUCAGAGUACAAAGACGUCUUUGCUUGGACUUACAAAGAAAUGCCCGGCCUUGACCCUGUCAUCGCUGUGCAUCAUCUUGCAAUCAAGCCUGGAACGCGACCGGUAAAGCAAACUCAAAGGCGUUAUCGAUCCGAGCUCAUUCCAUAAAUCGAGGUAGAGAUUGACAAGCUAAUCGAAGCAGGAUUCAUUCGAGAGGUCCAAUACCCCAAGUGGAUCUCCAACAUCGUCACCGUCCUUAAGAAAUCUGGACAAAUACGUGUUUGCGUAGACUUCCGGAACCUUAACGACGCUUGCCCGAAGGACGACUUCCCCUUGCCAAUCAUCGAAAUCAUGGUGGACGCAACCACUGGCCACGAGGCACUGUCAUUCAUGGAUGGCUCUUCUGGAUACAAUCAAAUUCGUAUGGCUCUCGAAGACGAGGAACUAACAGCAUUCCGCACUCCAAAAGGUAUCUACUGUUACAAGGUGAUGCCCUUUGGUCUAAAGAAUGCUGGGGCUAUAUAUCAAUGCGCAAUGCAGAAAAUCUUCAAUAACAUGCUACACAAGAACGUAGAAUGUUAUGUGGACGAUAUGGUGGUCAAAACAAAGAAAAGAUCAGAUCACUUGAAGGAUUUGCGAGUAGUGUUCGAAAGGCUGUGAAAAUACAACCUCAAGAUGAACCCGUUAAAAUGUACGUUUGGCGUCACCUCCGGAAAGAUCCUCGGCUUCAUUGUCAAGCACCGUGGUAUUGAAGUGGACCAAUAAAAAAUCAAGGCCAUUCAAAGCAUGCCUGAGCCAAGAAACCUCCAAGAGCUGAAAAGUCUACAAGGACGACUAGCCUUCAUCAGACGCUUCAUCUCUAACCUUGCAGGGCGUUGUCAACUGUUCAGCCGACUCAUGAAGAAGGACGUUCCAUUUGUAUGGGACGAAGCAUGCCACAAUGCUUUUGAAAGCAUAAAAAAGUAUUUGUCAAGUCCACCUGUCUUGGGGGCACCUGUGCCCAGGAAACCACUUAUAUUGUACAUUACCGCUCAUGAAAGUUCAGUUGGAGCACUCUUGGCGCAAGAGAAUGAAUCCCAGAAAGAAGGAGCGCUCUACUACCUCAGCCGAACCCUCACCGGCGCCGAGUUAAACUACUCCCCAAUAGAAAAGAUAUGCCUUGCCUUAGUGUUCGCCAUCCAGAAACUCAGGCAUUACAUGCAUGCUUACAUCAUCCACUUGGUUGCUAAAGCUGACCCGGUCAAAUACGUCAUGUCCAAACCAGUUUUGACAGGGCGACUCGCUAAAUGGGCGCUGCUGCUUAACUAAUAUGAGAUCAUCUACGUCCCAGCUAAAGCCGUAAAGGGACAAGCGCUAGCAUACUUUCUUGCCGAUCACCCAAUCCCAGCUGAUUGGAAAAUCUCAGAUGACUUGCUUGACGAGGAAGUGUUCUACAUCGACAUCUUCCCGACAUGGACGAUGUUCUUCGACGGAUCUGCACGAGCAGACGGAGCAGGGGCAAGAGUAGUAUUCAUGUCACCACAAAGGCAGAUAUUACCUUAUUCCUUUCAACUAAGCGAAUUAUGCUCCAACAACGUUGCUGAGUACCAAGCACUGAUCAUCGGACUCCAAAUGGCGAUCAACAUGGGAAUCACAGCCCUUGAGGUAUUUGGAGACUCCAAGCUCAUAAUCAAUCAACUCUUAACUGAAUAUGAGGUGAGGAAAGAUGAUCUCAUCCCAUACUUCCGGCUGGCAACUCAACUGCUACAAGAGUUUGAGACUGUGACACUAGAACAUGUGCCAAGAAAAGAAAAUCAAAUGGCAGACGCUCUUGCCAACCUAGCCUCAAACAUGACAUUAUGAGAAGACGAAGCUGCAGACGUGCCUGUCUGCCAAAGAUGGGUGAUCCCCCUCGUCACCGAAAUGCUACUGGAUGAUACAAAUGUCAUCUCGGUACUUCUAGUCGAUGUUGAAGAGUGGAGACAAUCGCUGAUCGAUUACUUAGAGCAUGGAAAACUUUCAGACGAUCCUAGACACCGCUCCGAAAUACGUCAACGAGCACCUCGCUUCCUCUAUUACAAAGAAACACUCUACCGACGCUCUUUCGAAUGAGUACUUCUGAGAUGCCUAGGUGAGGAAAAAGUUAAUCAAGCCAUGAAAGAAGCACACUCAGGCGUAUGCGGGGCGUAUCAAUCUAGACCAAAGCUACAUUUCCAGCUCAAAAGAAUGGGUUACUACUGGCCAAGCAUGGUGAAGGAUUGCCUGGAACAUGCCAAAAGGUGCCAAGCCUGCCAAUUCCACGCCAACUUCAUACACCAACCACCUGAGCCAUUACACCCUACAGCUGCUUCAUGGCCAUUCGAUGCAUGAGGAUUGGACGUCGUAGGACCAAUUACUCCAAAGUCAUCUGCAGGAAAAGCUUACAUCCUAGCUGCAACACAUUACUUCUCUAAGUGGGCUGAAGCCAUACCCCUAACGGAAGUAAAGAAGGAAACUGUCGUCCGUUUCAUCAAGGAGCACAUCAUCCACCGAUAUGGCGUGCCUCGCUACAUCAUCACUAACAACGGAAAACAAUUCUCCAACCGAUUUGUGGAUGAGCUCUUUAAGAAAUACAAGUUCAUGCAGCACAAGUCUUCCAUGUAUCAUGCCCCGGCUAACGGUCUUGCAGAGGCAUUCAACAAAACAUUGUGCAAUCUCUUAAAGAAGGUAAUCGGCCGAACAAAGAGAGACUGGCAUGAAAGAAUAAGCGAAGCACUUUGGGCAUAUCGGACAACACAUAGGACUCCUACCCAAGCUACGCCUUAUUCUCUUGUAUAUGGCGCGGAAGCUGUUCUACCGCUCGAAAGUCAAAUCCCCUCACUGAGAAUGGCCAUACAAGCAGGCUUGACUGAUGAGGAGAAUGCAAAGUUGCGCCUUCAAGAGUUGGAAGCACUUGACGAAAUAAGGCUCGAAGCUCAACAACACUUGGAAUGCUACCAAGCACGGCUAUCCAAGGCAUUCAACAAGAAGGUCCACCCAAGGUCUUUCCAAACUGGAGAUCUCGUCCUCGCAUUGCGUAGGCCUAUCAUCACAACUCACAAGACGAAAAGCAAGUUCACAUCAAAGUGGGAUGGACCAUACGUAAUACAAGAGGUCUACACCAAUGACGCCUACUUAAUCAUGGCAGAAGACGGCUUGAAGAUUGGCCCUAUCAAUGGAAGAUUCUUGAAGUGCUACUACCCCUAAAAGGUGACAACCAAAGCUCCUGGCCCACAAGAGCAUAAACUGUGUACGGCAAAAUCAUCAUAAAAAAAAAAUGCAUUUGAACUACGUUAUGACUUGAUCUCUCCUCAACAGAGGGUACGUAGGCAACUUGAAAUGUCAAAACUUCAAGUACAGUUACACCAUCUAGAAAAAAAAAAACACUUUGAAGAAUGAAGAGCAAAUUCAAGAAUGUAAAUACUUUAUUUCUUUGAAAGAAUGAGUCGGCUCCAAAAGCCAUAUUACAAAAAAAAAAAAAAAAAAAAAAAAAACAGAAGAUACUACUUGAAAACUAUGUCCCCAAAACUACGAAGACGAUCUUCAAGCAAGCUUUCCAAAGUUUUCAAAGUCUCUGCCUCGGUGGGAGACAAGAUGGGCAACUCCAUAGUCAUGCAUUUCUCUAGUUCUAGGCGUGAAAUCUCAUCCUGGUACUGAGAAAGUGUAGUUCCCUGCUCCGCGAGAACACUUUCAAGUUGUGAUGCUUCGAUUACCAACUGCUCUUGCUCUCUCGCCAACGCAUCUAGACGCACCUGGAUAGAAGAUAAAGAAGUCUCUGUAACUUGAUAAUAUCUCGAAGCAGCUUGCUAAGAAGACUGGACUUGAGCCAGUGACGAGUUUAUUGUUGCUAGCUGAUGAGCUCUAACAUCUGGACUCAACUUCUCUAAGGAAAUAGCACGCAAGGAAGAAUACUCAGUCGAGGCAGCCAUAAGUUCGGCAAUCUUAAUCUUCAAGGCUGAAGAGUCAACGUUAAGGUUGUCAAUCACAUAAACAAGCUUCGACAAAUCCUUAUUGAGCAACGUAAGGUCUUCCAACGGGCACUUAGAAAUCCUCUUCUCUAUAUGGCUCUUGAUAUCCAUUGCCGCACUAAGACUGAUGCGAUGGAUGACUUGCUCAGUACCGUUAAGGUUCGGCCCUCUCAAAGUGAUCUCAGAGUAGCUGGCAAAGGCGUUGGACGCAUGACGGGUUCUUGCACACCUUUACUUACACAUGGCAAACUUGGGAAGUUCGGCUGAUUUGGAACAAGCUCUGCACUAGGCGGAUCCCCGAUCUCCCUGUCUGUAGGUAGUUCGCCCACAAAUAGCAUCUCCGUAUAGGAAUAAACAUCUGCAGUUGCCAAAUCAAAAGAACAAGAAGGCCCAACCUAAAGAAGACAAAGAAAUAUGUUAGAAACGAAAGCCAAAAUAAUGAAAGCAUAAGAAAUCACGAGAGAAAAUGAAGUACAUACAUCUCUCUCAAAUGGCACACGGUUAUCAAGUAGAGGAGGUCUAAACACUUCUUUCUUCUUAUGACGAAAAUUGACGUCGCUGUCAACCUGAGAAUCCUCAAGUGGUCGUUUGUUUGAAACUUGUUGACGCUGUUGCAAAAUAAAUCCAUCUUCGUGCGAGUCAACUUCAUCUUCCGCCUCUUUAGAAGCAUCCGGAUGUCGAGGAGACAAGCAUGGGCGUUGAGGAGCUAAAGCUACAGAUCUAUCUUGUAAAGGAGUCGUACUGGUGUAAUCAAGAGCUACCACUUGCAUAGGAACCACAUGACAGCCCUCUCUCGACAUAUCAUUGCCCGAGUGAGAAGAAUUGGUACCACUUGCCAUCCCCAAGUUCUUAUAAUAUACCUUUGACCACCAACGAGCAUAAACACGGGUCACUGGAUUACUCUUGAACUCGUCCUUGGCUGGCAGCGUGAUAACAACAUUUGUACAUGCACGGGUACAAGACUCCCAAUGCAUAUACACGGCUUGCAAGGAUGCUGAUUGGUUCUUUUCCUUCAGCUUGCCUGGUAAGUUUUGGACAAAACCAAAUUGCCUGCUGAAACGGUGGGGACUAUAUGGCUGAACAAUGUAUUGGUCUUCUUGCCGCAAAGAAACAAACCCCGAACAAAGACUUAUAAGAUAAGACAAGUUUGACGAGCGGAGAUGCGAAUUGUCUACGAUGCCUCGCCGCACCGAGCCAACUCUCGCUAAGGGGUCAAUCCUCAAAUCUUCACAACUUUCAAGUAGCACUCGUGCUUACAAAUCAUCAAGGCUCUUCGCGGAGAGCACGCCAGAAUACUUCAUCAUCAAAGACCCCAUCUUGGCUGCAGUCGAUGAAGAAGGCCUUGACUUGUCUAGAGUCGUCAAAGAAAAGUGAGUGCCAAAAUAUUCAGCCAACCAACCAUACACAUAGUGGUAAGGAAGCACCGCAGCACGAUCUUCAGUGCUUGCCGAGUUCGAAACAAUGCUCAAACCAUUGUAAAUGUUGGCUAAAAGUUGAAUAGCAAGGCUAAAAGACUCACCUGCAGCCAUCUUGCUAGCAAUUUUGAAAACUCUAGGACGAACUAAGUUGACGUCGCCUGUCAGGAAAACAAACUUACAAAGCCAACAAGCUAAGAAAGCAGCUAGGUAAGACUCAUCCACAUGCUCUGAUACUAUGCCAAGAUCCUCAAACGCUAUCAACUCGUUAGAAGAGCGGUGCCUGGUUGAGCCAAUAACACCGAACAGGUCUGAGUCUCCCUUUAGCAUAGUGGUCUUGUUACGACAACUUUUCUUCGAAGACUUCUUAUACCUCAUAGCCUCCCAGUACCAAAAUCGAAUCCAUGAGGAAAUUCUCACGCCUGAUUUACCUUGAGCAUCCUGGAAAAGCUUGUGAUACGCCCAAAACAAAUAGCGGCAACUCACAGGCAAUCCUUGGCUAUUGUAAAGAGAAAGUUCCUCCGCGCUGGGAACGACCUCGGCAUAAAACUUACCAUGGAUCGGCAAGCCUCCUAUCCUGUGAAGAUCCCACAGUGAAAUUGACAUCUCCCCUUGCGCCGUGUGAAGUGUGUUGGUCGUUGAACACCAAUGCUCAAAGAACGCCCGAAGGACGGAAGGAUGACGAUCAUAACUAAACAAAGAUGCGUACACAGCGUGGUAAAGGCCCACUUUAGUAAGCACAUCUUUAGAUCGGCUUAAGACAUCUUCAAGCCACUCCCAAUAAAACUCAUCAAAGACAGUUUCUCCAGUAGUCGACAGGGUACCAUUCCAAGCCAUGGCUCCGCUGCGAAUGUGAUCACCAAGAAGCUUAAACAAGACCGGAUAAUGGUCACGAGCAUGGUGCGAAUGAUUCAAAAUAAGAACCCUCAAUGUGCACACCUUUUUCUUAGUAUUUGGUUGAACAGCGUCUACCACCUCCCAAGAUACUUUAGAAGACCACGAUUUAAUAUGCAUGAAAUUGUCUUUCACGAGAAAAGCAAGCGCCUUAGGACCAGUUAGUGGCGGGUAAAGCUUCAACGUUGUUCCUUCAUCUUGUGAAUCGCCUUCCUUCGCAAGAAUGGUGAUGGUGUUGUUCCUAAAACAUUUGAAAAAUACCAUGAUCGUAAAUCAGCCACAAAACUUGAGCAGCACGACAAAUAUGGCAGCUACAAGAUGGUCCUUCAAGGCACGCUACAGUGGCAAAAGAAACCAAAAUGCUACGCAAUCGCACUACGCAAGCCCGCAGCGAUUACAUAAGCAGUUUCUUGCACUGCAUGUUGACGUCACCACCAAGAAAGAACUGUGACCAAAAAGCAUUACGCAGCAAAGCCCCGCUGCAGGCUCUUGCACAACACCACACGACAGCGCACCACCGAGGGAAAACUGUGGUCAAAAGGCACUACAUAGCGAAACCUCAUUGCAGUCUCUUACACAAGCACACCCACGGCCUGCUACCAUGGCUCUAAAAGCUUCGCGAAGAUCUUGGCGUCAAGCUCUGCCUUCUCAAGAUUAAAAAAUUCCUGACAUUACAAACAAAGAAAUCCAUUAGUGGGGACACACACAUUGUGCGUAAAAAAUAAAAAAAAAUAAAAACAUUAUAUUAUGUUAUAUAUAUAUAUAUAUAUAGACAUAUGUGUGCAUGGUUUGGUGAUGGGACAAGUGCACAAAAUGGAGAUGGUCACGGGACGAUCAACUUCCAUACAUAUAUAUAUAUAUAUAUAUAUAUAUAUAUAUAUAUAUAUAUAUAUAUAUGGCUUGAAAAGACGCAAAUGGUGAUGGUGAUGGGACAAAUAUAAAUAUAUACAUAUAUGCAUGGCUCAAAAGAUGGAAAUGGUAUGCACGGCUCAAAAGACACAUAUAUAUAUACACACACACACACAAGUGACUCACCAAGUAAAGGUAGCAUGAAGGAAUUGCAGAGGGCAAGGUACAUUAUAUUACAUAUAUAUAUAUGUAUGCACGGUGAUAAAGCAAACUGCAACAAUGAUAAAGCAAACUACAACAGCAGCUUUCCGUAUAUAUAUAUAUAUAUAUAUAUAUAUACACUCAAGUGACUCACCAAGUAAAAGCAGCAGCGUAGGAUUGCUGGACAAUGGUGCAGUGGCGAUGCAAGGCAGCAAGCAACGCAAUGGCUGAAGCUGUGUAAUGAGUGUACAAGCAAAGGAGCAGUCCCAUAUAUAUAUAACCGUCCCCGAAGAAACAAAUGAAAUGCGGUGGCUAUUCAAAACACAGGUCUGUGACUGUGCAAACUGUGCAAACGACCACCCGUGCCUGGGAAAGAAAACCAAAAUGAGAGGUGAUGGGAUGGUGCACUGUGAAAAUAUGAUUAUGUACACACAAAAGAAAGUGCAAGCUACUGUUAGCAAGUCAAAAAAAAAAAGGUGAAAAGGGAGACAGAAUGAUUGAAAGGAAGAAAGUUUUCCGUUUAAAAAAAAAGAGGGGGUAAAAGAAUAGUGUGCAUCAGGCACCAUCUAAAAAAAAAAAGAGAAAAAAAAAGUGAAAAAGGUGGUGGAGACAUAAUGAUUAAAAGGAAGAAAGUUUUUCGUCUGAAAAAAAAAAGGAAAAGGUGAAAGAAUAGUGUGCAUCAGGCACCAUCUAAAAAAAAAGAAAAAAAAAUUGAAAAAGGUGGUGGAGACAUAAUGAUUAAAAGGAAGAAAGUUUUCCGUCUAAAAAAAAAAAAAAAAGGUGAAAGAAUAGUGUGCAUCAGGCACCAUCUAAAAAAAAGAAAAAAAAAGAAAAAAAAAGGGAGUAACACAUCUUAGUCAGAUAUACGUUUUAGCACAACAUACUGAAUAAAAUAAAGUAUGUCCAUUGAUAUCUCUAAGAAAUUACAAGUGCGUAAAAAAAAUAAAAAAUAAAAAAUAAAAAAAAGGAGCCUUCACAAAUGUCACUUAUGUGAAGCCUCAGUACUUUAAGCCUUAGUACUCGGCAGAGCCCUAGAAGAGGGAGGCACUGGAGAUGGAUUAUUCGGAGCCUCAAUACUUGGUCGAACUCCAGAUGACGAAGGCAAAAGGUGCCUCAGGAAUACAUCCACAAAUAUCCGAUUGUCACUUUGAAUCCGACCUUCGGAGUCCAGCAACUGAUCAAGCUUCCUCUUCAUGCUCGUCGAAUAAUUAUUUGCAAGCACAUGCAACUCUCUAUUCUCAUGUUUGAGCUGUUUGAUCACUUGAUUGAGAGCUACCACCUCGGCUGUCAAUGAUUCAACUUGACGAGUUUGAACAAGUAAGUGUUGACCCAUGUUGGAAACAGAGUUCGCACACUGGACACUGAGAGCCUGGGACUCUCGAACAGCUAAUUCAUCAGGCCGUCGUGAAAGUAUCAUAUUAUCUUUAGGAGUGAUGAGGUUUCUAGCUAUAAUCGUAGCUGUUGCUGCAUCCCUCAUUACAGAGUCUUCAACUGUAAGAGGGCAAUUAGAAGAUGAGAAGGACGGGCGCCAUAUAUUACCCUGACGCGGUGCACCUGUGUCACUGCUGAGACUCAAAUCUAAGCAAAUGUUAGACGGGUUAGCCAUUUCCAAAAAGAUGGUAAAAGAAAAAGGUUGAAGUGACGCAUGUUGAAUGCAAUUGACACCUCUUUAAAAAGAAGAGGCAACACAACCACUUGUUAAAAAAAAAAAAAAAAAAAAAAAAAUCGAAGAGACGCUACUCUUCGAAUUUCAAAACCCGGAUUUUCCUGCGUAAAAUCCGUCAACACUUUUCAAACGCAGUUUCAGCUUUCGGCUAUCACGUGCAACUUUGCCAGAAAGCACUGACAAAGUUGAAAACGUGUGGAGUCCAUCAUACCUACCUACCUGACUUUUGGCCGACAAAGCAUGGGAGACAAGGCCACAUCCACCCUGCCACUUGCUGUUGGGAGCUCACCAUAUAAUUCGACCUCCAUCCUCUACAGCAAGACACAUAUCCAGCUUCUCUUCUUCCUUGCCGAAUGUAUCCGCAACCAAAACUCAGUUUUCUUCCUCCCUGAAAAUACAAACGCCUAACUCUUCUUCCUUACCAAGAAUACAUCUCCAACUAAAACCUCUUGACAUACUUAGUUUUCUUCCUCCCUGGAAACGCCUCUUCAACCAAGUCACACCGGAGUAAAAGGUAUCUCAUAUCACUGGGGUUGAGAGCAAGAGUAUCUCAUAGCAUGCUUUCUCCCUGUCAUUUCAUUUGUCCUUGUUUUGACCUACAAAGACAAGGAUAAAGAAAGCAAUAUGUCAGAACCUCCACUCAAGCUCCUGGUAAGGAACCGACUGCUUGGAACCUUUCGUGAUUGCUCACCUAGCACUGCUCUCGAAGUACCCAUUAUCUCAACAUCUUAUGCUUCUAGAGAAGAUACCACAUUUGCCGGGAGAACAGAAGAGGCGAGUGAAAAUGAUGUAUCGAAGCAUGUGGAGACAAGCUCAACAAAUACAUGUGUUGAUCAUCCGCUACUUCUUCAAAAGAAAAAGUAUCUCAUAUCAUCGGGGUUGAAAGCAAAGGUAUCUCAUAUCAUGCUUUUUCCCUAUCCUUUCUUUUGCCUUUGUUCUUACCUGCAGAACAAGGAGAAAGGAAGCAAUUAGUCGGAACCUGAAAUUAAACGUCCGAUCAGAAACUGAUUGCCUGGAACCUUUGCCUGGUUGCUUACCUAGCGUUGCUCUCGAGUACUCAUCUUCAACUGUUGACGGAUCUCGAAUUUCCUCAGCAAAUAUUUCAAAACAGUUGAUUUGGUGUUGGCUCUUUACACUGAAGCUGCCAAGCAUGGAUGAGUGGCUGAAAAGUGAUGCUCUGAAUGACUAUUUAAAGGCAAAAUGUUGCGCACCACUUCGGAUAGGCGAAAGAAACAAGCAAAGAAAAACGCAGCACGAUGAGCCGGAACAAAUCAUUAUGGCAGAACACCCUUCUCGGUAGAACUGCAUAAUCCAGACGGAGGGGUCUAAGUCAAAUCCAAGCCUGCCAUCGUUGUUAUAAUCAAAGAGCUCGAGAAGCUUCAACAACCUUUCACUGGCACUAUCGCCAAAGAGCAAAGUCUCGAUAAUCCUUAAAGAUCAAGUCACCAACUGGAAGAAGAGCCCAUCAAUCUUGAAGAUCAUACCGUUGACCAAAUUGCUCAGGGUUCAUAUGAAAAUGCUGCGAACUUCCUUGAUCUUUCAAAGCAUGCAUGUCCUGAAACUACUCGUGGUCAUGUUUAAGUUCGAGAUCAAGCCUCGACGGCCCUUAAAGAAAUCACAAGUCCGAUUCAAGAUCAAGUGGCCACCACCUUUGAAUCAAAUCCAGUUCAAGAUUAAUUCUGGGGAAAGUCAUUUGGAGGAAACCAGAAAACCCUCCAGCCCAGUUCAAGAAUAGCCUGUGGAAAGUUAACAAUUGGAGGAAACCAGAAAAUCCUCCAACCCAGUUCAAGAAUAAGCCUGUGGAAAGUCAACAAUUGGAGGAAACCAGAAAAUCCUCCAAACCAGUUCAAGAUCAAAGCUGUGGAAAGUCAACAAGCGCAACAAAAUACAUGCCGAUUCACCCACUACUAAAGCAAAAGAUCAUCUACCACAUGAAGCUCUUUGUGGUCCAAUUUCAACCUUCAAGAUCAAGCCUCAACGGCCUUUGAAGAAAUUUCAAACAAAGUUCAAGACCAAGCCCCAACGGCCCUUGAAGAAAUUACCAACCCAGUUCCAGAUCAAGCCUCAACGGCCCUCGGAUCAACAUCUGCAGUAAGGGACUUCAAAACGCAUCUUCUACACAUGACAAGCACAUGUAUACGACGCGCCUUGAAGUGGGGGCAUUUGUAGACAUCGAAAUUUCAGUAAAAUAAAUGUUGAUCAAUAAUUAAAAUUUCAACGUUUAUGUGUCACAUAAAUUUUACACAUAGCAUGUGACUAAACGAAAAAUCAAAAUAAAUCAGAAAAGUCAUCAAACAGGACACGUGUCAACACCUGGCAGAAAUGAUUUAUUUCAUCUAAUUAUUUAAAUCCAAAAAAUCAAGUUUUGGAAUUCUAUAAAUAGGAGGCCAAGGCAUUCAUUUUGGGGACCAAUUCAUAACCAAUUCACCUCACACCACAACCUUGAAGCUUUGAAACUCCAAAGCUUCCAAGCAAAUCCCGAAGGAUCAAGAAAUCUCUCUUCGUUCUUCGUUAAAUCCUCAUUCAAAAUCAAGCCCCAACGGCCCUUGAAGAACUUCCACUAAUUCAAGAUCAAGCCCCGACGGCCCUUGAAGAAAGUGUCCAUCAUUCAUCAUUCGUUCAUCCCUAGAUCAAGCCCCGACGGCCCUUUGGAUCAACAACGUCAACAAAUCCGCACAACUGUUUAUCCCAAGAUCAAGCCCCGACGGCCCUUUGGACCAACAACAUCAAAUCCACCCAUUACAAAGAUAGAAUUAGAGGUUAAAUUUGUAAAAGAGAUUGUAACCCCUAAAUCAUCAAUACAAAUAUUAUUUUGUACACGUGUUCUUGUCUCGUUCAUCGCAGGAAUUUCCGUGUUUACAGUUAUGUUAGGGUUCAUAAAUAAAAAACCUUGCAAACUUUUCAAAAAGUUUAAUCAUAUAAAUUGAUAUGAUCCUACUAGUGAAACAAAUGUUAAUGGUAAAUUAAAUUGUUGCUUUUCUACUUUAAUAAACUCAUUAUUUAUACAAUGUGUUAAGUAAACUGGUCUCUCAUCAAAUUGUGUUAUUCUUACUGGUUUUGCUAAUUUUUGUCUAUAUUUUUCUGGUACUAACUCUUCUCUUAUGACACUCUUUGUACUUCCUAUAUCUAUCAUAGCUAUGGUUUGUAUCUUAUGUUCUUUUGCUAAUUCUAUUUCGCAAUUUAUAGUGAUUAAAGAACUACUUUUUGGUUUUUCUAUACUAUGAACAAUAUUUCCUAAUAUUUCAGAUUCUGCUGAAUUAACUUCUAAUAACCUAUUAUUAUAACAUUUUUCACAUAAUAUUGAGUAUGUAUUGUAGUAUUUAUUUGCAACUAAUUUAUUACACUUAUGACAUUUUUCUGGCCAACCUAAAUUAAUGUAUUUAUAUUCUUCUUCAUGCUGUUCUUCUAUGAAUGCACACAUAUACUCUUCUAGAUCACUAUUUGUGCUACUUGAAUCUUCCGAGUCUGAAUCUAUCAUGUUAAUACUCUCUAUACUAUAAAUACUCUCAUUAUCACUUAAAUUAUCUAAACUGUAUAUUGACUGAAUAUCCUCAUCUUCUUCUAACUUAAACAACUCCAUCAAAUGUACUUUUUCUUUCGACUAUUUACCUAAUUUUGGACAUUUAGGUCUAAUAUGUCCAACUUCUCCACAUGAAUAACAUUUACAAUUACUCUUAUCUUUUGGUGCUUUAUAUUUCCUAAUCCAAGGUUUGCCACUUCUUUUUCUAAAUUGUUUUGGAAUAUAUUUUCUUUUCCUAUAUGUUCUUGAAGGUCUUAUACUGAAAUUUUUAUGUUGUUUGUAGGGUUUAUAUGACUUAUAUUUCUUUUUGUAUAUUUUCUUAUGGCAACUAUAAUGUUGUGGUAAAUCUAUAUUUUUACAACUCAUGUAAAAUUGUUUCCUAAUUUGUCUCUUAGCCUUUAUUUGACUACACUCUUGUCUAAGUAUAUCAUAUACAUGUUGAAUUCUAGGUCCUAUAGCAAUAUCAUUUUUCUUCGAAUGUUUUUGCCAUUCAUUGCAAAUCUUUUCACCUAUUGGUCCUUUUAUUUUUGUCAUAUAAGUAUCUAAUAAAUUAAUAUCACUAAUUCUACCUGUCCUUCCUAAAUAUUUAAAGAAAUCUGUUGUAUACUCAGCUAUAUACUAUAAAUCGCAAAUUUGUAAUUGUUCUAAAUUUCUAAUUGCUCUUAUUUGUUCUUGUUCGCUUCUGCCAUCUAACCUAUUAUGAUCUAAAAACUCUUGUUUAAUCAAAGUAAUAAAACCAUCAAUAUUGAAAUGUGUUUUAGCUGCCUGAUGUUGUUUUGGAUUUUGGACUUUCCAUGAUUGGAAAUAAUAAAAAACUAAAUCAUCCAAAGUAUGUUCAAAGUAAUCUAACAUGUUUUGUGAAUUACUAAAAUCUAACAUUAAUGCUGCAUGUACGCAGCCUUUUUCCCAUCUCUCAAUUGUUCUUUCCCAAUCUUGUGGAUCUACAUUAUCUAAAUUUAACAUAUUACUAGCUAUAUUAAUUUGUUCUAACCCUCUCAAAUAUGGAAUCCUAUUUUUUCUAGGUUUUAUCAUACUUUCUUCUAUAUAGUCUACUUUUGCUUUUUCAUUAUAUUGUUCAUUUGUUGGUCUCAAAAAUUGUUGAUCGGUUCUGCUUGCGUGUCCUGGAUUUUCUACUCCUGAUGUACUACUUUCUUCUGCUGGAUUACAUUUUGCGUUCAAUUCUAAUAAAUUAUUAUAUUCUUUUGAUCCUAAAAUGUGUUCUACUCCUAUUUCUAAGAUUAAAAUUUUCAUUUCUUCGUUUGAAAUUUUAUGUAGUCCUAAAUCAUGUCUUAUAUUUUUCCAAAUAUUGUUCUUCAUCUAAAUGAUCAAUAUCUUCUAUAAGUUUAUCUACAAUAUGACCAAAAUUAUGUUCAACUAAAUUAAUAUCUAAAUUAUCAAAAGCCAUAUGUAUACUUUCAUUUUCAAUUUCACUUUCAUCUUCUUCUAUUUUUUCUAGUUGCUUAUAAUUACUAAACCUAAUUGUUGCUUGACCUGUACUAGUUUCAUAUAUUUGUACUUUUUCUGGUUGUCUAUUUUGUGCUACUUGUAAAUUAGGUAAUGUCCACUGAGUUUCUUCUAAAAAGCUAUUAUCUACGGGUUUUGCUUCUAUCAUAUUUACAUGUUUACUGCCAAAUGUUUGAACUAAAUUUUGAAACUCUAAAUUAAACUUAUGAUUAUAUCUAUCAGACACUUUACCUAUAUACAUUAAGUUAAUACACAAAUUUUUAUACUCUCCUUUCAUAUUAUAAUUUUUUGUUCUUAUGCUUACUUUAAUAUACUUACUGAAUUCAUUAAUCGUCAUAACAUAAUUUGGAAUACAACCUAUGACUGCUAAGUUUGAACUUAAGUCUACUUCAGCUGUUGCUAUUGCUGCUUGUUGGUGAUUAUCCCAUCUAUCAUCAUAUACGUAUACUAAAGCUUUUGUACCUACUUGUGGUCUGGUUAAUCCUGCUAUUCCAAUUAAUAUUGUUCCUAUAUGAAUCUGACUAAAAUGUGAUUUUUUCAAAUGAGUAACUGCUUCUUUACUAAUUAGAUUAAGUGUGACUUCUUUAUCAAUACAGUUAACUUCAUGUUGACUGAUGCUGCUUACAAUUCUACUUAUGUUUUCAAAUAAACCUAAUUGAUACAAGUUAUAUUUAUUUUUCUGUGUUCUCUCAAAACCUCUUCGAAUAAAUUCUUGUGCUUCUUCUUCAUUUGGAUAAAUAUCUUCCGCUCUAACUAUUUCUUUUCCUUUUUUCCUAAAGAGUUCCAUUUUCUAUUAUCAAAAGGAUUUAGCUUAGGUCUUCUAUUAUUAUUUGCACUCAAAGUUAAAUUUUCUAAUUUAUCUAGCAAGGAUGGUGGAAGUGAUGAAGAUGCGUUAUGUAAAACUUGGUUUAUUUCUGCUAUUUGUUCUUCAACUUGAUCUAAUUUUUCAGCUAAACUUAAAACUAAUUGGAUAAUCAAAUUAUUUUGCCUAAUGGGAAUAUUACUACUGGAUACUUGUGUUGAAAAAUCUGUUAAUCCUUCUGGUUCUUUAUCUAAUUUACUAAUUUCUUUCAAAGCUUGAAUAUAUUUUCUACUAGUUCUAGAAUCUGUCAGUAAACUAAUAAUUUAUCUAUUUUAUUAUGCAACUUAUCUACUUGUUCACUCAACUCCUUUUGUACGAAUUGAAUUUUUUGAACUUCUAAUUUUAGUUGUUCAACAAUUUCUAAUGACUUAAGUUCUACUUGCUUUGGCUUACUAUCUAUGAGGUCAACAAGCUCUUUUAUCUCUCUUUUGCUAGGAAACAUUUGAAUAUUUUUAUUAUUAUCUUCUAACUGAGAUGUAAUAUAAUCUAAAUUUUGUCUAAUUAUCUUUAUGGAAUUUUUCUGAAAAUGUUCUAACAACUGGUUUAACAAAUGAUUAUGCUUAUUAUUUUCUAAUUUUAUAUUUUCUGCUUGACUAAUAAUAAGAUCUAUAAUACUAUUGGCUUGCGGAUUUUCUUCACUGUGCAAAAUAUGAUUAUGCUUUCUUGAUGGAAAAUAACAAACUAAACUAUUUUGGUCUAAAGUUAUUUUUCUUUUUUAGGUUCACUAAUUUCUAAAUUAAGAUAAUCUAUCAUAAACUACAGUCUUCCCUUCUCUAGAGUUAUAGCUAACUGGUUUCUUAAAAACUCUCUUUCUUCUCUCAAGGUCUCUAAAGCUUGAUAUGUUGUUCUUUUUGCUUCUAAAACUUUAUGCUGCACUUCUGUGUUAUUAUAUUUACAAAUAAAUAAAGGAUGUUCAAGAUAGCCAAGAUAAAACUUUUGCUUCUUCAAAGUACUGAUAAUUCAUUUGGAUAUAUAUGUUAAUCUUCUCUUUAUGCUAGUUAUAGUUGGAUGUCUGGGACAAUAAAUACCUGGUAAUUGUGGUUGACAGGGUCUACAGGGACAAUAAUAUCUGUUGUUCAUACACAAUAAACAAAUAUGAUAUCAAUUGUAUUAAUGACUUCUAUCCUCAAGGUACUUUACUAUUAUGCUUAUAUUAUUAAAAUGCUAAACUUGGCUCUGAUACCAAAUUCGAAACGCGUGCUUGGUUAAAUAGUCGGAUGACCAUUAUAACAACUAGACAUAGAACCUUGCAUAUGGAACUCGACAUGUUUCAACAUGACGGCCACUCACAGUACAAGUAUAAGGCCUUAAAGGCUGAACUCAGAGGUACGAAGAACUCAGAGGUACCCUGGUUAAUGUCCAGUUAUUUGUAUGGCAAACAUUCAACUAUAACAGAGUGCUCGAACACAGUAUGAUCGUCAGUUUAGCAGGUUAAUAAUAUAACCACAAUAGUGUUUCCCUGUUUUGGACUAGAAGUCUAAUUAAACAAACACACUAAGUAAGGAAAAGAAAACUUACUUAAGACUUGGAGAUUGCUUGAAUAUGUACACUUGAACUUUUAUUGAUAUAUGGGAUGUUUACAGAGAUAGUUGUUUACAAGAAAGUGAUUACAAAGAAGUGUUUAUAAGGAUGCUAUGAAGGCUACGAAUGCUAGAGUGUAUGAAGUGAGUAUGGUGUUUUCAGAUGUUGAGAGAGUUGUGUGGUAUUCAGGUGUGUUCUGUAUGGGAGGAAAGACUCCCUUAUAUACAAAAUCUAAAACUUCAAAGACAAAAUAACAUUUUAUUUAUUUACAAAUUUUUGAAUAGUGACAGCACACUGUUUCUGAAAACUGUCAGCACUGUUUCUGAAAGCUGGCUGUCUUGUCUUUGCUUGAAUGUCAUGUGAAUUUAUAUUGUCUUGGUUGUUGCAAUGUUUGCCACAUAUCCUUUUGCAUGUAAAUGCUUUCUGAAAAUGUCAAUCUCCUUUUUCUUCUUUUGGAUGUAUCCACAUGAACUUUGCAUAAAACUGACCCAAUCUUGUACAUAUGUGUGAAGGGUAGGAUCAGCAUUUUUGAAAAAAUCUGUCCUGAUGAUUAAAAGUAAAGUUUUGAGGGUGUUUUGGUUAGUUUUCCAUUAAAAAAAUUAUAAAACACAUUAAAAAUAAAAAUAUCAAGUAAUUUAAAAAUACUAAACACAUUAAAAAUAAAAAUAUCAAGUAAUUUAAAAAUAUCAAACACAUUUGAAUGAUUUACAAUGUUUGAUUUUUUAUGCUUAGUUUAUGUGGAAGAGAGUGCUAAUGUGGAAAGCAUUAAAGAAAACAUUGUCUACAACUCUUGAAGACAAUGUAUCAAGCUAAAGUUCUAAUACCAUUUCGCUUGGUGAUUGAUGAAAAUUGAAGGGUUUUAUUGUAAAAAAACGUCCAAUGUUUCUCAACUUUGAAAUGCAAACUUCCUUCAUUUUGCACAUCCUUGAACAUUUGAUAUUUUUUUUAGUAAUGUACUAAUGUUUUUUCAUUAGGCUCUUUUUUGGGAUAUAUAAUACUUGAAAGACAAAUUUUAUUUAUUUAUUUAUUUAUUUUUUUUAAUGUUUUGAAGUAAUAUUUAUGUAACAACUUGGUAUGCAUAUACUAAGUUAGUAUUAGGUUUUCCAUUUUUUUGGGGUCAAAUUAUGCUUUUUCAUUUUCAUUAUUUAUUGAUUUAAAAUAUAUUUUCUUUAACGGGUAACGAAUCAGGUCAUAUUACCUGAUAAUAUUAACGAGUCGAUUUAGGUUUAGGUUGAUUUAGGAUCGGGUCAUGUUACCCGUUUAUUUUAACGGGUGUUAUAUGACACGACCUGUUAAGAUAUCGGUUAUGUCACGAACACAGAAAACACAACACGAAUGUCAGGUCUAGGAGUAAGAACCUAAAACCCCAACAUUUUAGUGUCAUUCAAAAUUGGUCUUAACAUUUUUAAACAUUCCAAACAAAUACCCAACCUCUUAAAAGCCGCAUUUGUUAAGCCCCAACUAAAUUUCUGUCAAAUUAAGGCUUAUUUUGUAUCCAACACCAAUAGAAGGUCAUGACUUCCACCAAGUAAUGGUCACCAUCACUGUCUACAAGCCAUCACCUCCAAACCCAUGCACAACCACAAACUCCACCCUACAACUCAAGUUGCCAACAUCGAGGAAAAUGUCAUGGAGGUUGCUGAAAUGGUAUGGACCGCCAAUAUGCAGCCACCACCAUCUUUACUGCUCACAAAAAAAAACUAAAAACUUUACUAGCCGAAAAUGGUAUGGACCGCCAUUAUUCCUGAAUUUGUUUAUUUAUUUUUAACUUUUCAUCUUCAUAUCAUUUUUUGAUAUUAUUAUUUUAGUGUCCAAGUAAGCAAAUAAGUGAGACUCAUUGUUGCCACAUGUACAUUCAACGGAAAAUUUAAAGGAAACCCAACGAAAAUUCCAAAAAACUUUAGUUUUAAUGAAAAAUGACAAAUAAAAGUGUAAUGAAUAGUACCAAAGAAAGGUAAAAAUGUGGUUUUUCGUUAAAAGUGAACCGUACCGGGAGUGUUUCGUUAAAACUCCCAAUAUUUAACUUAGAACUUAACAUAUGUGACACUUUCAAAAGAUUGAGAACCUGUUUGAAAUGUCAAAGUUGAGUACUUGUUCGGAAUAUUUAAAAAGGUUGAGACCGAUUUGAAAUGAUACUAAAAAUUGGAGAAUUUUAGGUACUUAAUCCUAAAAAAAUAAUAAAAGCAAUUUUAUUCCCACUGUCUGGCGAGAAGAACCUGCAUACUGGAAAGGAAAGAAGCCGUCGACGUCGUCCCACACAAUUGAAAAUCAGUGGACGGUUUUACAUUCACUUGCAUAAUGGAUUACGGAUACAAGAACUGCUCCUCUCUCUUUCAGAAUCUUAUCACGCACCAACUCUCUGAAGAAUCAAAGGUCGACUAUCACUUCUUUUGGAAUCUGAUCUUUUAAGAUGCUUGAAGGUUUUGAUUACUUUACGUGGCCACGACUUCUGUUCUUGAAGAAAACAUGCUUGGUAGGUAAGAAUUUUUAAUGUUUCUUUUAUUCAUGGGACUCCCAUGAUGGGAGCAUGCAAUUUGAAAGCGGAAGCGAAUGUUUUGCACAAGGAAUCAGAGAGAUAUAAAACACGGUGAGAAAAUUGUUUCUGCAAAAGGAAGAAAUCAGGAUCCAAAAUCGAUCAGAAUCGAAUGUUUGAGUGAGUUAGUGGUUUAAUCACCAUUUACAGGUUUGAGAGUUUGUAUUCCUAACAAUUUUGAAAAUUCAUCUUCUCUUCUAUAGGUUUUCAGCUGGAUAAUAAAAGUGGAAUCGUUUUAUUCUCGAAUGGUUUCUUGACUUGUGCUUACUAAUUUGUAUGGUACAUUGGCAAUAUUAGUUAUUUAGAUUUAGUGAAUUUUGUAAUGAAUUGGAGUGUGCAUGAUUUCUUUGUUCACGUCAUGGGUGCAAUAAACUCUACUUCACAAUGCGUUACGCGUGACGUAAAGAAGAGCUUGAAAUAUAUUUUUAGUUGUCAAUUAAGUCAUCGGUUCAGUCUAUUUCCAAAUAAAAAUGCAAAAAAUAAAAUAAAAUUCUAUAUGAUGCUCGUAACGUGCCAUGGUUAAAAAAAAUCUUUCGCAAGUGCGUGUAGGAAAACUGGUAAUAUAAAAAUAGAAAACUUCAUUUUAAUCCCUAAAAAAAUGAGUUUUAGAUUAUAACCAUAUGUAAGAUUAAAAUCCAAUUUUAGUCCCUAGCACAUUUAAUCAUAUCAUUUAUUAGUUGUAUUUUGAUGUUUUAUUUUAUCUUUUUAUUUUUAUUUUAAUGUAUUAAUUACAUUUAAAUUUAAUUUUUAUUUCAUUCAUCAUAAUAUAUUUUAAUGUCUACAUUUAGGCAACUAAAUUUUUUAUAAUAUAUUUUCCGAUAACAAUUUUGUAUGUUCUUCAUUUAGGUACAUUAAUACAUUUGAAUAUUUUGGUAUAUCUAUCGGUACAAACAUGUAGUUACAUUGAUUCAAUAAAAUGCAUUUCGAUCAAUAUAAUGCAUUUCAUUACGUACACUUUGAUACACACACUUGAGCAUUGACUUUUAGGUACAUUAAUUCAAUUAUUAUUUCGGUAAAUACAUUUAGGUACAUACAUUUUGGUAUUGAUAUUUAGGUACAUACAUUUUCGGUAUUGACAUUUAGGUUCGUACAUUUUGGUACAUACAUUUCGGUAUUGACAUUUAGGUACAUUAAUUCAUUAUAAUACAUUUCAAUACAUACAUUUAGGUUCAUUAUAAUAUAUUUCGGUACAAUCAUGUAGGUACAAAUAUUUUGGUACAAAAAAGUCAAUUUUAUAUAUUUUGGCACAAUCAUUUCUGUACACUUAUGUAUCUAUAUAUUUUUGUAUCACAAUUUUUUUUUAAUAUUUUCUCAUUUAUGUUCAUUUCUAAUUAAAAAGAUUAAAUAUGUGCAUAUUAAUAAAAUUAAAAUUUAAUAUGGAGAGAUUAAAUAAAAAUACACAUUAAAUAAGAAAAAUUGAAUGUAAAUUUUGAUAAAAGUACACUCAAGGGAUUAAAUUGAAUAUUUAAUCUAGCAUCAGGUUUUUUUUUAAAUUUUGAUCUUUUUCAAUGACUAAUGUUCAAAAACCCCACAUAAAAAUGCUUUGAUUAUAGAAAGGUUGUCCAAGUAUUUUUGAUAAAAAGGGUUUUGUGAAGAUUUGUCAGGAUAUUAAGAAGAUGUUGACGAGGCAUAUAUUCUAAAAACUAGAAAGUGCCGGUAAUUACCUCGCCUUUCCAGAUCCGAGCUUGAAUAUAAAUAUCCAUCCCGAUCAGUUUCAAAUUCUGCACACACUCCUAAACCAAAUUUUCAGAUCUUCUACAAGAACUAAAGAGAAUGUCAGGCUACUCACACUCUCCUCCCGGCUAUGGCUAUGGCUACGGCCACGGCUACGGCAGCGCUUCACCUCCAGGUCAACCCUACGGUGCACCGCCGCAAGGGCAGCACCAAUACGACCAUAAAGCCCGAGCCAACGGUGCUCCAGCUAAGCCUCACAAGAAUCAAGCCCACGGAGGCGGAUACCCCGCGCCUGCUCCAAGUUACGGCAGCCUGUUCGCGGCUUUGGUUCCGUCGGUGUUCCCGCCGGGCACGGAUCCGCAAAUCAUAUCUUGCUUUCAGCUGGCAGAUCAGGACGGUAGCGGCUUCAUCGACGACAAGGAGAUGCAGAGAGCUCUGUCGUCGUACAAUCAGAGCUUCAGCUUGAGGACUGUUCAUCUUCUCAUGUACCUUUUCACCCAGACCAACACCAGGAAGAUCGGUAACCAUUUACAAACCCUAACACUCCAUGCAUGCAUAUCUGUGAUUUUCUCGUUGAAUUUGAAAUUUAUGCUCACCAGCUUACUUAUUACUGUUGGAUUCGUUUAAUCUUUGAUAUUUGUAUCUAUCAACCGCUCAAUCUCAAAAUGUAAACUCAUUAUGAUAAAUAAAGUGAUGAACGUCACUAUCAUUUGAGUGUGGUGAGUAAAAAUAUUCUCUUUUCGGAGAAUUACUUAUUUAAAAAGAGACUAGGUCAUCAUGGUUACUUAGUUCAUCAUGUCAUGUAUAAGUUUUUCGUUACAUGACAUGACAUUUCAUUAGUAGAUCGAGACGCCACUAUCAUGGUGAAGUCAUUCUAUACAAGUUGUGUGUGGGGGUUAAUUUGCUACAAUUUAUCUUUGUAGCUUUCAGUGUAGCUCAAUUCACUAUUAAUGAAAUAGUCGAUGAUAAUAAUAUUUAUUGUGUGUGCGGGUAAAUUGUGAAAACAGGACCCAAGGAAUUCGCUGCACUGUUCUACAGUCUUCAAAGUUGGAGGGUAAUCCCCCGAAUUCCCUUCUUUUUUUUAUUUAUUUUUUUAAUGGAUCGUUUGAUAAUCAUUUUAUUCUCAUUUUUCAGUUUUUAUUUUUACUGUUUAAAAAAAAAAUGAAAUGUAUUAGUACUUCUUUCAGUUUUCAGAAAAUGAAAAAUUGAAAAUUACUUUUUUGAUCAUUUUUCAAAAUUUUAGUAUUGAGUUUUCACUAUUUUGUUUUAGUUUUCAUUUUUUUGAAAGCUGGAAAUAGUUACCAAACAAAAUUUCAGUUUUUGGUUUAAAAAAAAAUUCAAAACUAAAAACUAAAAAUGAAUGGUUAUCAAAAGUCCCCUAAAAUUUUGUCUUCUAAUUAUUGUGUGAAAUUAACUGUUUUGUAAUUGGUGUGGUUGAUCAGGGAGUGUUUGAGAGGUUCGACCGGGACAGAAGUGGGUUCAUUGAUGCAAAUGAGUUGAGAGAUGCACUGCUGAGUCUGGGAUUUGCUGUCUCACCUGUAGUUUUAGAACUGCUGGUCUAUAAAUUCGGCAAGACUGGAGGCAAAAAGAGGGCCAUUGAAUAUGACAAUUUCAUCGAGUAUGUUUCCUUUUCCUUAUUUAUAUCAUUCUUUUCUGGGAUUGGCUUGAGGAUCAAAUUCUUAUGAAUUAGAUACUUACUUGAUUUCAUUUGGUAUAUUUUAUAUUACGUUUUCUUAUCGAAAUCUGAUUAUUCCUUGUUCGUUUAUUUUGGUUAAAUGCAGGUGCUGUAUGACUGUUAAGGUGAGUUCGAUGUUCACUGAAGCUUAUAUUUUGUAGUUUUAACUGGGGAACUUGUACUCGGUCCUUCGGCUUUAGAUUUUAUUCCUACUUUGAUAAUUGAGGUUUAUUAAUCUGUUCUUGCUGUCUACGUAUCUUAAAAGCAUCGGUGUGCAAGUUUAAUCGGAUUUGUGCGUAGUUUGUGUGAUUGAGUAUUCAAAAAUUUAAAUUAGUGGGUUAACCGAUAAACUUUCAAUACUUAAUGGAGCGUGUUCUUUUGUGAUUCUUGUGUCUUCAGGGAUUAACUGAGAGGUUUAAGGAGAAGGACAGAGCGUACACUGGUAUGGGAACUUUCACUUAUGAGGAGUUCAUGUUGACUGUCCUGCCAUUCCUGAUUGCGUAGGUUGUGUGUUGUUUAAGGCUUUAUGAAUUCGGUUCGUGGUUUUACAGUGUAUUGUAAUAUCUAGCUCUUUCUUUCCUGUGUCUUAGCGGAGUGGAGUGCAGUAGCUGUAUUUUUUCACUAUAUAGCUUUCAUAUAAUAAGGCUUCAGCUCCUGGUUUUACCAUGUCUUUAACUUUUGCAUCAUUUUCCAAUUAAAGGUUGAUGUCGUUGGAAAUAAAAUUUUCUUUGGCUAAGAAGUGAGAUGACUUUGACAUCAUUUUCCUAUGUAAUUUUUUUAUUUUAGGAAAAACAUGAAAUAAAUAAUAAAUAAAGGGGACUUCUCCCCAUUUAAUUUUAAGAAAAACUAACAGAAAGUCCAAUUUUUUUUUAGUUUUAUUAAAAAAUGACAAAUAAAGGUGUAGUGAAUAGUAGUCAGGAAAGGUAAAAAUGUGGUUUUUCGUUAAAAAUGAACAGUACCGAAAGUGUUUCGUUAAAACUCCCUUUAUUUUAGGAGUAAAAAAUUCCAAUACGAAACCUUUAAUCCAGGCAAGGCAAGCACAUAUAUAGUAUCUUCGAAAUUUCUAAUGAUGUAACCAUUGUUUUUCCUAUUAAAUUGUUUUCCACGUUAACAAGGCACGAGUACCAAAUUUGUACAUCGAAUGAUGUGUCAUCAAUUGAAUUUAGAAAAAUACUUAGGUACUAACUAAUCAGUACCCAAGAUACUGAACAUAUGAAGUGGCCCAAUAAGAACAAAACACAUGUCACAACUUUAAUUUGAUAAACUUGUAACUAAACACAGUGUUAACCACACAUCCAAACAUCCCCUUUCUCUCUCAAAUCCUCACCAUUCCAGCCUCACUACUCCUUGCUUUUGCCAUGGUAUCAACGCCAGAAACCUUGUCUUCCCCAACGCCUUUGGGAACCUCAACUUCUCCGUUGUCCUCACCCACAUCUAACCUUUAUGUGUCAACUUCGCCCUAAAAUCCCCCUAUUCUUUAUCGUGGAAGCCAUAGCAACACCCCGUUGUUGUUCGUCGGACUUCUCCGUAGUGGAAUCUUUGGCAGAUCCGAACACCAACCUUCUCCUGAAUUUCAUUGUAUAAUUUCAACCUACUUCAUAAUUUUUUCUUAUAGAUGAAAUUUCCUUCUUAAGAUUAGCAAGAUGGAUCUGAGCUUUCAUGGGUUUCGUCAAAUUUGAGAGGGUGAAGCUGCCAUGGCUUCGAGAGAAAGGAGAGGAGGUGGUUGGUGGAGAUGUGGCAGCAGUGCUUGUAAUGAGAGAGAAGAUGGAUGUUUGGAUACUAGUACAAGAGAUGAAAUGGUGCUUUAGGUUAGAAAGAUAGUAAGAGCUGUGAGAGGGUUUUAUUUGACAGUUGUUUUAAAUUUAGUGGUCCAAAUAGGAUGGUCAGUAACUAUGGUACUCCCUGUUGAGUACCCAAGCAUUGUCCUUGAAUUUAUAUGGUAUAUUGCAAAAGUUUUAUGUAUGUAGCACCACCCAACAAAAUCAGUUUUACAUCUUCAAGGGAGUUGGAAAAUUUUAUAUGUAAAAGUGUUCUUUGGUAAACUACGUGGCACUUAUAUGCUAUUAUAAAUUUUUUCAUUCCAACUUCUUUUCAACCAACUCUUCAAAUUUUAUUCUUCAUCUUAAAAUAUUAUUAUUAAGUACCUAAAACUCCUCAAUCUUUUUGUGUCAUUCUAUAUUGGUCUCAACUUUUUUAAACAUUCCAAAUAAGUAACCAACCUAUUGAAAAUGUCACAUUUGUUAAGUCUCAAUUAAUCCUUUCGUUAAAUGUACAUGUGACAACAAUAUGUCCUACUUAUUAGCUUAUUUGGACACUAAAAUAAUAAUAAAAAUAACUUUAAAAAAAGACAUGAAGAUGAAAAAAUAAAAAUAAAAAACAAAUUCACGAAUAAAAUUGAAAACAAAAAUAAAGAUUGGAAAAUCUCCUAACAAGAAGAGGCUAAGAAUUCAUAUAUGGUUUCAAUGAGCUUGUUUCUACUCAUGUGAUUUCCUCAUUCGCCAAUUUUCAGCUAAUAAAGCUUCAACUUCUUCUUUGUGGGCAAGGAAGAUGGUGGUGGCCACAUCAUGACAGUCCAUACCAUUUCAUCAACCUCUAUGACCUUCAUCUCGGUGUUGGUCGCUUGAGUUGUUGGGUGAAGUUCGUUGUUGCGCGUUGGGUUUGGAGGUAAAGGUCUGAAGGGGGUGGUGGUGACCAUUACUUGGUGGAGACCAUGCUUCCAUAACAUUCUAUUGAUGCUGGAGACAACGUAAGCCCUAGUUAAUUUAACAAAAGAAUGAAUUGGCACUAGAAGAAAAAAGCUCAUCUAUCACGGUCAAUGCCAAUGGUAGAUUACAAUCCACCACGGGCAUUGUGCCCGUUAGUAAUCUGGAUGUGAUAAAAAGUCUCAGUUUCUACCACGAGUUAUACCCGUUGUUAAAUUUGAUAUAACCACGAAUUGUGCCCGUGGUAGACUAGGAUCUAUCACCAUGUGCACUAUGAUUGUUGUGGAUUACAAAAUGACCACGACCAAUGCCCGUUAUAAAAGAAUUUCCAAAUCUAAAAAAAAAUUUAAAAAAAAUAUUUAUUUUUAUUUAAUAAAUAUAAUAUUUAUAUACAAGAUUGCACAUUUACUACAAUAUAAUAAUUACAUAAAAAAUCACAUUUAAAAUCAAUGAGCUAUCCUACGAGAUAUGAAACUAUCUAUCAAGUAUGAAAUACAUCUCCAUUUACAAACAAAUUAUAUCACUUAAAAGACUUCACUUUUUCUUGAAUUGUAUGACAAAGAUUUGUAAUUUGAUAACCGCCGCUGCCACUGCCAUUGCCCAUUCCUCCUAGUUGAAUAAUUCACCUAAACACAUAAGGAAAAAUAAGUUGAUCAAACGAUUACUUCUAAGAAAACAGAUGCUUAGCAAUUUGGUAUAUAACAUUCAAAAUUAUGGCUAUGCCAAUAGACUCAUUAAGCUCAUGAACAAAAAUGAUUUGAUUCCAUGAAAACCUUAACAUCUAAGUGACAUCUUAGAAGAAAGAAGAUUGCAAUGCAAGAUUGAUUCCGAGACUGAUUGAGAAAAAACAUAUUCUUUAUCUCCACCACAAAAAUUUUCUCAGAUUUAUGAAGGCAACACACUUCUUUCCAGCAACUGCCAACAUUAGGACAAACACAACUGUAAGUGCCAUCUCUAGGACUUCACCCAACAUCUCUGAUACAUCCCCUUACAGUCAUGUUAUUCUAACACAUAGUAUUUAAGAAUUUCAUCAUGCAGUCAUAGUGUGACAUCAUUAAAUUUGCCACAUUAAAGAUGUUAAUCAUAAGGAUAGUGAAAUUAAGCACUUACGUCUUUGAGCUGCUACUCCAGCGUUGUUUGGGCUCUACUCUCAAUGUAAACUUGCCUUCUAGCUAAAUGAAUUGGAGAUGCCUGCAGGGAACAGGAAAAAAAACACUUUCAGGCCAUGCACACAGAUCAUCGCUUUAUAAAAAUAAUGCUUUUUAUGAAAGCUUGAUAAAGUUUACUAAAAUGUGCUAAACAUCAAACUACAACAGCCAUGGAUCAGCAAUCCAUAUGAUACACCCAAAAAGGGAAAACACUACAAUCAAAACUAUAUUGUAUAUUAAUAUUAUGCCCCAAGACAACAUAACCUCCUAAAAAGGUAACUGAUUGAAGAAACAACAGGCCAUCAAUCCACAUUAACAGAAAAAGAAUGGAAUGAUCUUUAAUUCUCGAUACUAAAUUCCAUAGAGAUUGUCUAAUAACUGACCAUAGCCAACAAAAUAUCCAAAUAACACUUAGCAUUGAAAUAUUCAAGCAUCAUAUGCAACCAAAUGACCUUAAAAAUGCCACAACACCAAGCCCUACACAUAUUUAAGUAUAGAAGUACAAAUUACAAGCACAAGCCCAAAAAAUUAUUACAAAGCAAAUACAAGGGCAAAUAGUUCAUCAAUGUUGACAAUAGUGCAAGUGUAAGUAUGGGAACUCUCUAACAAUUGAAUACUCAAAGACGAAUGCAAUAUGCCUUAAGAAUCCGCAAUAGAUGCAUAACUACAUAUGAGACCUGACAAAACUUUCAACAAAUAACAGGAAAUUUGCCUGAAUCCAAUGAACAUUUUGAAACAAAAGCAAAAAACUCCACAACUUAUCACAAAAAAACCAAACCUUGAGUGCAUUGUGAAUGCCAACAAUGUCUUCAUAUUCAACAAAAGCGUAGCAGACUUCGAUUUCCCGCACGCACCAAUUUCUACUUUAGCUUGAUCCAGUUCAUAGUUUUAGAGACAAACUCACCUUGCCAGCCCUCAUCAUGUAUAAUUUGACCGAAGUUUUUAAACUUCUCCUCAAUCUCAUCUUCAGUAACCGUAGGAGGCAAAUUUCUUAUAUUGGUUGUGCAUAGCACUUUCAAAGAAUAAAUACCAAAACCUAGAUCUUGAAUUUCUAAUAAGAGAUUGAACAUAAGAAAUUCAGAUUUUCAAAAUUAAACAAUUGGUUAGUAGAGAGAGAGUGAGAUUACAUACGAGAAAAAUUGAACGAAAGGAAAACAGGUAAGAUUUAGAAAUCGAAAUACUAUCAACUCGGAAAUUACGAAUCACUAACAACAACUUCAAAUUAUCGCUACGAUUAUUCAUAAUUUUAAAAAUUAAUUAAAAAUAAUUAGAGAGAUUGAGAAAAUGGAUGACCAGGUCAUGGCUAAUCGAACCAUAUGUGGACAACCUCGGCAAAGAGAAUGUAGCACCAUUAUUGCAUUCACUCCCACUACAAAUUAGUUCGUUCCCAGUUGAAGCACCUCAGUUUCUGGAGCGACAUGGAGUGGAAGGGAUGGUCUCCGCUGUUGCGGUGAGGCUACGGAGGAGAGCGCAUGGAGGUUGUGUUGGGGUUGAUUUGUUGGGUUGGUGAUGUUGUUGCAGGAGGAGAGUGGGAGGUUUUUGAUUGGGCAACAUCAUGAGGGGAAGAAAUUGGUGGUUGUGGUGAGGUGAGGAUUCAUGGAUGAAGAGAGGCGAUGGGUGGAGAGAAGAUAAAAAAAAAUGAGAGAAAAGUUUGUGAGAGAGAGAGGUAAAGUAAUAGGAAAUUGAGGAUUUCACUUAAAAAUUGAGAAUUGCGGGAGUACAGUGAAAUUUCAAAGAUUUGAAAUUUUGGGAAGUUUUUCAAUCCCGCCUCCUAAAUCUUUUUUAAUAACGUGUGUAAUUUAACCACAUUGAAUUUUUUUAUUUACCACGAACAUUAAAUGUUGUUAAAAAUAAUAUUACCACAAUAAAGAUCUGUGGUGGUUUAAUAUUUCGACAACAUGCUGAUUAAGUUUGUGGUAUUAAAUUGUUUUAUUAUAACGGGCCACUACUUGUCCAUUGUAAAAUAUUAUUAUCCACAACGUGCUAACUAAGCUCAUGAUAAAUGUUCACUUUUUAUAACAUGCGCAUAAAGCCCGUGGUAAAUUUGUCGUGGUAGAUGAGUUGCUGUCUAGUAGUGUGGGGUUUAACGUAUGUGACAUUUUCAACUGGUUGGGUAAUUGUUUAGAAUAUUUAAAAAUGUUGAGACCAAUUUGGAAUAACACUAAAAGGUUGAAGGGUUUUAGGUACUUAAUCCAAAAUAUUAUUAUAUCAUGUUUGUCUUAUUUUUGUGGGGCCCGAAUUUAUGUUUUGGACACUUUAAUAAACAAUACAUUUGAUUAAAAUAUAGGGAACUUUAACGAAAAGCUUCCGGUAUUGUUCACUUUAACGAAAAACCACAUUUUUACACUAAAAAGUCAAUCAUGGUACUAUUUACUUUACCCUUUAUUUUGUCCUUAUCGUUAAAACUCAAAGUUUUGAAGUUAUUUUCAUUAGUUUUCCUUAGCUAUUUUCCUUAGUUAUUUUCAAGCUAUCAUCAAAUAAUAUUCAAUCUCAGUGAUUAGAUUUAAUAUAUUUAAAAUUUUAAAAUUACCCAAACUUUAAGUUUUAACCCAAAACUUAUUUUAGACCCAACUAUUGGAGAUGAUUGUGUUAGUUUAAAACCUAAAUCUUGGAGGGGCAGCCUGUUAACCCUUGCCUAAAUUUUGGGUUAACAAUUGGCCCCCAAAUUUUAGGUUUUAACCUAAAACUAUUUUAGACCCAACCAUUGGAGAAAGAUUGGAUUAGUUUAAAACCUAAAUUUGAAGUUUUAAAUCAAGGGUUGGAGAUGUUCUUAGAGAUGCUCUUAACCCACUGGACAAAAAAAAUGUUCAAAUUUGGAAUCAAAUUAAUUAUAAAAAUUAAUAAAAAGCCCUCACUAAACUUUUAAUUAUUCAAAAACUUUUAGACAAUUAUUUAUCAUCAAGUGCACCUUUUCUUAUUAUUAAGGAUUAUUUUUUUUUUCAUUAUUAAGGAUAGCAUUUUAAUUCAUGAAAGUGUGACCUAUUUUUUUAAGAAAACUAAUGAAAAAAACUUUAAAACUCUGAAUUUUAACCAAAAAUCAUCAUAUAACUAUAUUUAACGAUAAAGACAGAAGAGAGAAAAAAAAUCUAACCCCAAAGGCGUGUGCAGCAUAACUUUGUGGCUUCUGACUCUGCACCAAAUAAGCUGCAGCACAUGCAAGAGACUGAAAGCUCUUAUGUUGCCAUCAACAAUGAGACCCAUCAAUCUCAUGAGUAAACAAACACACAUAAAAACCAAAAUCUACCACUCCCCACGAAUGAAAAGAGGAAAGAUGAGAAUCAGAGAAAAUUUUCCCAUUAUAGCAAUUGUAAUGUAUGUAGAAUUCUACUUGCUGUAUCGUUGUCCCUUGUUAUCUUAUAUGAUUGAUGCAGAGAUUAUUAAUAGUAAAUGCAUAAUAUAGAAGGUCAUGUUAGCUGUGCCGGAUGACAGAACUCUCCUAGGAACUUGACGGAAGUCGACAAAUAUCAUAGUCACUAACUGUAAUUAUUGAGUUUUCUCUUGGUAUUAUAGGUUUGUAAUGGUAGAGGUAGAAAGAGGCCUUGUUUUCCUGUGCGUGUGGGCGCUUACAUCUUUAUUUUUCGUAUCCUUUUACGACAUUAAGGCAUUUUUUUGGGUUUGUGAUUAAAAAAAAAAGAUGAAAAUUAGAAGAAGAAAAUGUGCUUGGAAGGUGAGAAAGUGCCGGCAACAUUUAAGAUGAGAGAGAAGAAUGGUCAUGAACUUCAUGACCAUAUUCAGUUUAAGAAAUAGUUAGUGCACGCCAAUCUGUAUUCAGUUUCAGAAAUAGUGCCCGUGUUCAGUUUUAAAAAUAGUGUAGUACUCGUGUUCAAUUUUAGAAAUAGUGUAGUACCCUUGUUUAGUUUCAGAAAUAAUUAGUAUUCAGUUUUCAAAGUGUUCAGUUUCAAAAAUAGUAUAGUACCAUUUAGUUUCAGAAAUAGUGUAAUACUGUUCAAAUUUAGAAAUAAUUUGUGACCAUUUUUUUAUUAAUUUUUUUUCUAUUUUUUAUUUUAUUAUAUUAAACUUUUGUCGUUUUCAUUAAAAUUUAAGUCAUUUUCAUUAAAGUUUAAGUCAAUUUCAUUAAAUAAAGUUAUAGGAUGAUUUUUUGUUAAAUAAACUUCGUACUGGUUUGGUAUUGAUGUGCUUUUAUAAAAAGUAGGUAUAAAAAAAAGUUGAGCUCAACACUUAAAAACAGCUUAUUUUCACAGUUUUGGGUGAAAAAAAGCUGAAAACGUGAAGUAGCAAAAAUAAGCUUAUUUUCACAGCAUAGCAGAAGCGCUUUUCAUUAAACUUUUCUUUUUUUUUUUCUGUAUUUUUAUCCUUAUCUAAACUACAUAUUAAUAUGUUCACCAAAAAAAUAAAAAACAAACUACAUAUUAAUAAAACCCUAUUUAUCAACCAAAAGAAGGUGAAGAUAUUAUUUAGUCUUUUAUCACAACAACAAAAUUAAGGGUAGUAACGUAAUUUCACAAAAUAAAAUUUUGCUACUUUUUGUUUAAGCAUCGCCUACAAGUGAUUUUGUUAUCUUUAAUUAUAUAAAAAAAUUAAAUAAGGGUGAUUUUGUGAAAAAUCAAUAAUAAGUUACAAUAUUAACAAUAGAUCAACAAUAUUUACGUUAAUUAUAAAUAGGUCAAUCAUGUAUUGUUAUACUUAAAUGGAUUUAAAAUAAACAAAAAUUACAAAAUCUACCACUACAACUGUGGAUGCAAAUUUCUUCCUUCUUGUUCUUGGAUGAAAAUGCACCUGCAAAACAAUUAACACCUUAAGUCAAGGCCAAGAGCCUCACGCGCCCACGAUGAAUUUUGGGGGGGGGGGGCUUUGGCCGAAGAACCUCCAAUACCAAAGUUAGAAUUUUGAAGGAAAAGUGUUUGGAGAGUUUAGAGAAUUUUGCAAGAGGUUCAACUUAGGUUUUUGGAGAAAUGAAGUGGUAUUUAUAGGGAUGUGGCUGGCCCAUUUGGGAGAGAUGGGGACGGACCACUUGGGUGGUUUUUUGGGUGUGGUUCACUAUUUAUUAGCUAAUUAAUAAAUUAAUUGAGUAAUAAAUCAAUUAAUUAGCUAAUUAAUAUAAUUUGAAAGGAAUGAUUUAGGGGUUACCUUGUGGAGAAGAUUUGAUGAGGAUGGAUGAAAUAAGUUUUGAAUAAAUACCUAUUUUGAUGAUUUUUGACCUUGAUUGAGUGAUGAUUAUCCGCUGCUCGCACGUAGAAGUUCCGAUGUGCCUCGAGGGUAAUCUUGUCUUUUUAACCCAAAAAUCCACGUGUCACCUCCAUAUUUUUCUUGAUUAUUUUUGGCUUCAUAAAUGCCCCUAUACCUGUUGGGCUGCUCGUAGGAAAGGGUAGCAGGUGUAGAGAUCUUCUUGCUUUAGGAAAUGUAUGAUUGUUUCUUAUUUUGAUGUAGAUUCCAUCUUUAAUUGGAAAUUAGAUCCUUCUAGGAAAGGGAAAUAAAUCACUUCUAAAGUCUUUUUAAGUUUACCUUAAGUAGAUGAUUAAAUCAACUUUAGAGAGCAAUUUAUUCUACCCUACAAGUGAGAGAAAGCUAGAGGAUAUGUAUUCCCCAUACCUAGCAAUCUUCUACACUUGUCUGUGCAAAGGAACAUCUUUCGUUGCUUUCUUCGUCUUCUCCAUGCAGCACCGAGGUAAGAAAAUUUUAAUUUUCCUUGUCUUCUUCUUGGAUAGUGCUGUUGUAGGGCAGCUAUCGAUGUGGUGUGGCACGUUGGUUGGCAUGGGCCAGAAGUUAGUUCGACAUGGGCUAAUGAGGUGUUGUGGCAGGGACCACUGCUUAGGCUGCUCGGCUUAGUUGGAGCCAAAGGCAGCUUGUGCGGCUGGGGCCGCAGAUUGAGGCGUUGAGGCGUAAUGCUAGGCGAGCCGUAUGGCUCAUGUCCUUUGGUAGAGGCCCUGUCAUGCCCCUAGUGCCGAAAUAUGUACCAAGAUGUCCGUGGAGAGCUAAGUCUAGUUCACCUUUAGAGAUGCUUACUAUUAUGAAGAGCGAUAAAUUGGACUCUGCUGCUAAAGUGAGGCUAAGGCCCACUCCCUCUGCUGCUAAAACUGAUUCACUUGCUAGGAAAGAAGAUACUGCUCGCGUGGGCAGUUGUGAGAAAUCCACUAAGCUUGCUUUUGGGGAGGUUGGUGAGAUCUGUUCACUUUUGAAACCAAAUCUGCUUAAAGACAUGAACGCUUAUGCCAAGUUUGUCGAUGGCGUUAUAUGGGUUGUUUUCCCAAGUUUCUUUGCAAAACAUACGACUGAGUAUAGGAAGACUGCCCUACUUGUCAUGAUGCAGAAGACGGCUAUUCUGGUAGCCGAAUCUAUGCUCCUUGACAAAAAUGAUACCAAAGCUACCAAGGAGGUGGCAAAGGCUGUGGCAGCCGAAGCCUAUUCUUCUACUGAGAAGAUCAAAAGGUUGGAAUCUGAGCUCGUCACAUUUAAGGGGUCUAAUAUAUCUGCCCCCACUUCUUUGCAGUUUGAGACCGUUCACCAAGAGAUCGUUAACUUGGAAACUAGGUUUGACGCGAUCCAAGUUAAGUAUGAAAGUGUAGAGAAUGAGAUUGAAUGUUACAUACCUCAGAUUCAAGAUCUUGAGCGUGUCGUUUCUGAGCUUCGUUCCGCUGCUUAUGCAAAUGAUGAAGAGUUGAUUGCUGCUUAUAACCAAGUGAUCCACUUCAAGAAGGUCGUUGAUAGACUUGAACCCUAAAUGUUGGAACUCUAAGGUGUGCUGAAGAUCAACAAAAAAUUGAAGAAAUAAGUGGAUGAGUCGUAGCACGUCCGUGUUGGUCUGCUCGAGGAGAACGAGCAAUUGAAGGGUGAGAAGGCUAGGCUCAAGGCUUCACUUUUUCAGAGUCAUGCCGAUUUCUACAAGCUAAGUUAUGUAGAUCAUCUUUUUGGUAGUCCGUCUGACUUUUAGUUUGCUGGGAAAGACUUUGAAACCUUAUCUAUUUCUUUAGAAGACUUACUUACCUUUACUUUUGAGGCUUCUAUUGGUGAAGUAGUUAAAGAAGUUGGUGCCCAGGUUUGGGCAGCCAGGGCUGAAACACUAGAUGGUGCCGCUGCUGAAGGUGUGGCGACUGCUGAAGGUGUGGCGACCGAGUAGUCGUGGAGCGUCUAAGCUGCUGAGGAGUAGUGUUAUAUGUAGUCUUUAGGAUUUUCUUUGUUUUCCUUGUUGCUUUUGCUUUGCUUGAACUCUUUCAGUCUUUGCUAGUUGUUUAUCAAUUUUGCUAGAAAAUUUAAUAAACUUGUUUCCUUCGCUUUUCUCCAUCUUCUAUUCUUUUGUUCAUGCCCUAAUCUUUAGACUUUAUAGAUUAGUGGCAGGCGUGCUACUUUUCUAUAAGCAAACAAGCCGCGUAGCCUAUGCAGCCGUAGGUGUUGGUGUAGAACUUUGCAAAGUUGUUAGCCAUAGGGUCGGGAACUGGACGCCUUACAUACAGAAGCAGACAAGUCCACGUGACCACUAGGCUGUUAACCUUAGCUUUCUCCAAUUCCGUAGAUUACGUUGCAAGUAUCACAACACUUUAGGACUUGGUGUAGGUCGUUUUGCGCUUGGCAGAGAUGAAGCUUAUUAACUACUUAGCAUGUCGGCAGUGGAUAAAGCUUCGUAUAUGCACGCUAGCUUGUUUAACCUUUCAUAAGAAUAUGUGGUUGUAUAAGUCUAACGCGGCUUUACUGCUUAAAGGGCGCCGUCUUCUUUUGAAGUGAAUGAGUGAUCAGUUGUUGUAAGCAUGCAGUCAAGCCAAGUUGUAAAUUACUUUUGAAUUCUUCAUUGAAAAACAAGUGAAACAAAUGAGAAUUUAGCUGUAAGUUAAGAACUGCAUAACAAUUGGACAGUCAUCGACUUGCGAGGUGGUGCCCGUCGAGUUGGUUGAGUCUUCGGGCUUUGAUAUAGCGGGAGGUCACACAUGGUACUUCCUCAGAUGGUAGAUGUUCCAUAGCUUUUUUAUCUCUUUGUCGUUCAUGGUAGCAAGGGUGUAAUUACCCUUACAGCUUACUUUGCUGCUCUUGUACGGACCUUCCUAGAUGGGAUCCAUCUUUUUGGAGCCUUUUCUGCAGACAGUGAUGAAGGUUUUUCUUAAGGCUAGAUCUCUGAGUUGGAACUGCCGGAUUUUGGCUCUUUUGUUGUAGCUGGAGAUGAGCUGCUACUAGUAGAUUGUGAUGUGGGUGAUAAUCUGGUCGUGCUUCUCCUCUGCCAUAUCUAAGCUUACAGCCAUCUUCUUACUGUUCUGCUUAAUACUUGGCAAUAGAGUGCGGAUACUUUGCAUGAUAACAUUUGGGAAGAAUGAUUACUUCUAAACCAAAUGCCAAAGAGAAAUGAGUCUCACCAGUGGCUCGUCAUUUGGUCGUGUGAUAUGCCCAUAGGCAUCUGGGAAGUUGUGUUGCUUGAUGCCAUAUUUUUGGAAGAACUUCGCCAAAUCUUUACCCACGAAUUACGAGCCGUUGUAGGUGACAAUGGAUUGGGGAUGCCAAAUCGGCAAAUAAUGUGCCUCUGCCUUCAAUAACAGGCAGGAUUGGCCCUACCAAGUUGAUUUUCCAUUGCAUGAACAGCCAAUGACUCGUCUAUGGGUAUAGCUCGCUGGCAGGCAAUGCUGGUACCGACUUUUAGCGUUAGCAACGGUCACACUUUUGCACUAACUCCGUAGCGUCUUGAUGCAUGGUAGGCUAGUAGUAGCCUGCAUUAAGAGCCCUUUGCGCUAAGAAUCGACCUCUGGAGUGAUUUCCAUAAACGCCUUUGUGGAUUGAGCUUAGAAAUGUCAUUGGGAAGCACUAGCCAGCGGAGAUGUGAUCCAAUGUAGGAUCUUCGGACGAGAAUGUCGUUCCACAUGAAUUUCUAGACUCCAACCUUUCCAUUGGGAGUGUGCCAUUGACCAGGUAGUCUAUAAUAGAACUUUUCCAGUUUGGAGUUGUCCUAACCUGUGACACUUCGACUGCCAGCUUCGCCUCUAUGCUUACCUUGUCUACAUAUUCCAUCGGGAUAGAGCAUUUGAGUUGGUGGUCGAAGGUGGAGCCUAGGCCGGCUAGUGCGUCCGCAUGGGUAUUGUUUGCCCGCGAAACUUGAGUGAGGGUGUAAGUCUAAAAUGCCUCAAGUUACUUGCAUACUUUUGCUAAGUAUUGCGCCAUCCUUGGAUGUUUUGCCGUGUACUCCCUAAUAGUCUGGCUGAUGAUUAGCUGGGAAUCAGAAUGAAUUGUAAGCUUUUUCAUCGCCAAGUUUUUUGCCAUUCGGAGGCCUGCUAGUAAGGCUUUGUACUCUGCUUUGCUGAUAGAUGCCUUGAAGCCUAGAGUAAUCGCCUACUUGAGCAUCGAACUGUCUGGGGUGACAAGGAUCAUGCCUGGUCCCGAGCCUUAGUAGUUGGAUGUGCUGUCUACUUGCAAAUGCCAGAAGUUUCCAUUGGGUGAAGCAGGCAUGGCUAGGGUGUGCUCAACUGCCUUCAAAGCAUCGUUAUGUCGCUCUGUUGUGUCGCCGAGGCUAGGCAUGAAGGUGUGGUAAGGAGCCGUGGAGUUAGGGCCAUGUUACACGUAUCAGGAGAUGCUCAACUACCGGCAUCGGGCCGCUUUAGAGUUAAACCAAGACUUUCCCUUGUCCUUGAGUGAAAACGGAAACAAUCGCAAUCUGAUAGCAUCGUUAGUUGCCCCACGGAUCUUCAAAGUUUCACAUAUCUCGACAAAGUCGUUAAUAUGUAAAUUUGGAUCUUCAGUAGUAAGACCAUAAAAUGAUGGCAACAUCUGGAUGAACGACGGCUUCAACUCAAACUGAUUAGCUAUAAUUUCUGGGCGCACAAUACAAGACAAUGUGGCUCCAACAGUAGGAGCCGAAUAAUCCAUAAGGGCAUAAGUUUCAUUUGGGUCUUGAAGUGCCAUUCUUUCAAUUAGUUCUUGCUUCGUUUGCUUCCUUAGUAGGUGUCAAAACGUUCUGUCAAUUUCGGGAUUGUAUGACACAAGCUCAAGACUUUGAGAAUGACGCAUCAAUUAAAAUAAAACAAAAACACGUAGCAAUUGAAAUAAGAAAAAGAUAGAAUAAUUUCAAUCCCCGACAACGGCGCCAAAAACUUGUUGUAAAAUUUAAACUAACCGAAAUUAGUCCAACUUAGUUCCAAAUUUUAUGCUCACAAGCAUACGAAUUGUUCAAUAGUAUAGAAAGCAAGCACUUAAUAUCGUCCCUCAGAAAAUGAUUUAAUUCUUAUCACUAACUUAAAUCCAAUUGCAACGAAGUAAAAUUAGCAAAGAUUGAUGAAAGAUGGGUAUGAGAUUUGAAACUAAUAGUAAAAACAAAUGAAAACAAGAAAGUUUGACCACAAUGCAAAAAGUGGCAGCCAAGAACACAAAUUGUAAUUCAGUCGAGUAAAACGUUAGAGCAUCCAACUCACCAUGACCAAUCCAACUUAUUUUUUGCAGUGAAUUAUUAACAAGUACUCAACCUCAUUGAUAGUCAAAUCUCCCUAACACAUGUAAUAUCUAUGGCAUCUAGACUAUUACAUAUAUCCCAAUAUGAAACCAUCCAUGGCAUCUGUAAUAGUUUAACAUAAUGAAACUCAUUACGAUCAGUGGAAAUUUAUUUAAAGACUACACAAAUCCUAGUGUAUGGCAUCUACUACUAGGUAAUUCAUGGUAUCUAUUUGCAAGAAGCUAUCACUCAAGUUGAAAACAUGGCAUGUGCACAACUUGCAUCAAAUUUACCUAGUAAAAGUCAAGAUGGUAGCUAAUCACCAAGACUAAAACCAAGCAUAUAAACACAGCAAACGAUACUCAAUGAAAUUGAAAACUUGAAAUAAUUCACUUGAGAAUAUAAGCAUUCAUAGUCAUGGCUACAUCGUAGCCCUAGCUAAGGAAAAUUAGUUUCGAAACAUAGAUGAAAUUAUCAUUGUAUUCAUAAUAAAAAUGAGAAGAAAAUUGAGUUUAGAAAAAACGUUGAAAGAUCCUUAUGCUUUGCUGCAAUUGUCUUCCCUCCAUCUCUGCUUCCAAAAAAAUUGAUCAGUUCUUUUCCUUCUUUUUCCGUUUUACGUUUCCGUAACCGACGAAAAAUUAACCCUAAUUGAUUGAUGAUAGUAAAAGAGAGGAAACGGUAGAACAUUAAGGCACCCAAAUGAAUUCUGCAUCUGUUAACAUUAAGCUCGUGCCUUUAAUCUCUUUGCUGCUGCUCCCCCUUUGUUUCAAUAACUCUUUCAUUGCCAUCAAUAAAUCCAUUUAUGCAACAGCCAAGUCUCUCUCUUCGAUGCCUUCCCUCCAAAACCAAUAAUAAAAGAGAACACAUACCAUAAGAAAAUCAAACAAAUUAGGAGAAAGAAAAUAUGGGAAUAACAUUCCUUUGCAUUCGUUUUCCUUCUCCCCCAACUGUGUAACUCGAAUUUCACCUUCCAGGUCAUCUUUGCCAUUUUUUGAAAAUUACCCAAACUCCAAAAGUUAAGGUAAUCAACCCAUUGCUCUAGAUUCAUCUUCUCGCAAAGAUCCACCAACUGAAAAUUCGGUGGAGGAAGUACUCUUUUGAGGAGGGAGAGGUUGAUCAAAUUAGUUGGUUUUGCAUCAAAAGUGGGAAUUUUGAUGCAGGGGAGAGGGGAAAAAUGCUUAAGCGACUCUCGUCUUCCUCCUGGAAAUUAGGACAAAUCGCAAGCCUUUCAAUUAUCUUUUGAGAGAGGUUAAUUGAAGUUUGAUGCCUUCAGGUAUUGAAGUGGCCACAUGGAAGCAAAACAAAAAUGGUCCAUCUUUUUCUCCAAAGGAUAGAAAUAUUGCCAGCUUUUACCAUGUAGACCCUACAUAAAAUUUUUGAAAGUAAGAUGAAUUUAAAUAAGGGAGUUUUAACAAAACACUCCCAGUACUGUUCAUUUUUAACGAAAAACCACAUUUAUACAUUUCCUUGGUACUAUUCACUAUACCUUUAAAAAGGGCUUUUCAUUAAAAGGGAAGUUUUUUUGGACUUUUCGUUAGUUUUCCUUUUACAUAAUGCCUACACAUGAAUCCAAAAGAACAAAAGCUCCAACAACUUCCACUUUGACUAGAAAUUAGACAAAAAUCUUAGGAAUGUUGCCUUAUUAUUAAUCUAGUCAUAAAGGCACAAAUCUGUGAAAUUCCUUUCAUUUUCAUCAAACUUAUCACAAGAAAAUGUAACUUUUGGAGUAAAUAAAUAGUAAAAUAUGGGAUCAUCAAUUUGUAUCAAUGGAAGAGAUCCAUCGGUCCGGAAGAUCUCCACAAAAUUGAUCCGUAGAGGAUCUAAAUUCGUAUUUAUAAUAGCUUAAGCCCAUAUGACUUUCAUAGAGAGAGAAAGAGAGAGAAGGAUAGAAGAGUCAAAUUCUAACUAUUUAUAAUGACUUAAAACCUAUGUUGCAUUCAUCAUUGACCUAGGUCUAAUUAAUAGAAACAUAUCAUUGAUUAAGUCCAAAACAAAAAUAUGUCAUUGACAUAUGGCUUAAUAGUAAAGUUUUUAUUGACUUUUGGCUAAAUUACCAAAUAAGUAAUCUCACUCCCUCUCUCCCCACUUCCACAUUCACUCCCUUCCUCUCUUCUUCAAUUUUAAAAACAAAAAGUAUAACAUUUCGCACGCAAGUGUGGGCAUAUACUAGUUUUUAUUAUAAGAAUGCCAAAACUGUACUUUCGGUUCACAAGGCUUCACAAAAGAAAAAUGGGAAAUAAAAACCCCUAAAACAAUACAAUAGAAAACUGGCCGAAAAUAAUACAAACAAUCUGCACAUGUUGUAGUUAGGAAUGUGAUUGUGUACAUCCUAGUGUAUCUAGGGAUAUCUUUGAAUUUUCUCUUUAGUAGUUAAUAUCCUGUUAGAGUUGUAAUCCUAUUAGGGUAAGGCACAAUGGGGUGGAAUAGAACACACCUUGCAAUCACACAUCUCUCUCUUUCUCUCUACUAUGUCGCACCCUUCUCUCUCUGUCCUUUAUAUGAUUCAGUAAAUUAGGCCUACAACACGUUAUCAGCAUGCUCUUAAUGCUGCGCUAAAGAGAGUUUGAUCUUCAAUCAAGGGAGUAUUACGUUUUAAUCAUUCUUUUUAUGAUUAAUUCAUUAUUUUAUUGAAUUGAUAUGUUAUUGAUUCAAUUUAAUUUUUCUGUGUUGAACGUGAUACAAAGCAUUGGAGAUGCAAUUCCGACUUUCCGAGAAUGAUCUUCUACAAAUUCAAAGGCUCGGUUGUUUUCUGCCAAUUAGGUUCCUUUAAAAUAAAUUAAGAUAUUUGAAACUCCCCUAUAUUUAUAUUUUCCUUUCAAUUAUAUAUGUUGCAUAUGUGUUCAUAUAUUUUGUCAAUAUAUAUAUUUGUUCAUGUAAUACGCAAUUAUGCUAUGUGGAAUUGUGAGUUAAAGCAUCAAAAUUAAUUUAAAAGCACUUAGAGUUCUUUUAACUCUAGAAUCCGAAAAAAAAUCUGGGUUUUUUUUUAAUUGUUUUUUUACUGCUAAGCCGCCGUUAGCACCGAGUUAAGUUGGAUGGCUUAUAGCCAUGCCACCGCCUUGGGAUGACGUCGUUUGAUAUCAUGGACUUCUGGAGCAGCCCGUUAGGCUUUGCUGCAUGCACUGGACAGCCAAGGCGAAGGCUUGGUUUGGGUUUAUGAAACGGGUUUGCAGCCUUAGCCUACUCCAGCACAGCCUGAAGCUUUCCUAGGUUUGUCCCUGAGCCCUAGGCUCAUCACCAGUAUGCCUAAAGUUUGCUAGGUUCGUCCCCUUACCUCAGCCCGCAUGCAGCAACUUCCUUAGCUGUAGGGCUUGCCAUGUCAAGGCCCAACCACAAGCUAGCUUCGGUUGGGCUUUGUAACACCUCAACCCAAGUCAGUGAAUGCUAGGCUUGCUAGCACUCCGGCCUGAUUCCAUAACAAGCCGGCCUUGCCUACUUAGAAAUAGCCUUGCAGCCAUGAUUGGGCUGCCCCGCAACAACCCGUGGCCUACUAAGCCAUUUCAGGGCCUAGCCUUGCACACAACACCCAAGCCCACCAAUAUUGGGCUAUGGUUUCUCGAAUCCAAUUCUAUUUUUGGCAUUCUCUAUAAUUUUAACAUGAAUGUUAUUGUUAUUUUUGCUUCUACAAUUGACCCCGAAUGGUCUCGAUCUAUUGAAUUAAUUAAAGUGACCAGCAGUCCAUUAAUCUGACAAUUAAUCUAAAAUUAUUGGCCUGAAGUCCACUUUUUGGCAAUUAACAAUUCAAUAAAUUAUUUCUUUUCUUUGAACCGUUAACUACCUUUCGUAGUCCCGAAGCACUCGCACUUAAAUUCCUGAAGCAACCCAAAUCCUACUUAGUUGUAUAUUGUAUUCUGUGAUCUUUCAGGAACCUCUCUUUUAUGAACUAAAUGUUCAUAAACUAAAUUGAACAUGUAGUUUCGAAUUUAAUGCCUUUGAAACCCAAAUGUUCUAACUUUAAUGCUUAUGGAUAUCUUAUUUCCAUAGCACUAAUCACAAUCUUGUUCCCUUUAUUUAGUGGAUUGUUGAACCAUAACAAGUUCGAUUUCACUAAUUUGGACGUUUCUUGAUCGAAACAAGACGUGAAUCUCCACUUGACUAUUAAGAUGCUAAGUAACCAUUGAAGCCAACAAUGGCAUCGAUGAGCUGAAUAAGCCUCCGCCAUGAUCUUCAUUCGAAGACUUAUGCCCAAAGCAUUACAAACGGAAGUACCUCCUGAACAGACCCUUCCAGCUUAAGUGUAGAAAGUGGAAGGUUAUCCAAUUUUUUAAUUUGAUUACUACCACAAACGUGAGAAAAUGGUAUAGACCCAUCUUCGGCUGGAGUCUACCGAACAGUAUAGACCCAGCUCGGCUAGAGUCUACCGAAUGACUCAACCCAAUUCGAUCAAAGCCUAUCGAAUAGUGGUGCCCUGCUUUGGCAUAGGUGCACCAAAUGGUAUUGACUCUGCUUUGGCAAAGGCCUACCGAACCCAAGUAUGGGUCUGUCUCUUUCAUAAUCCAAUUUCGAGUUUGUUUUUACAACAUAUAGUAAAAUUAAGGUCUGCUAAGGUGUGACAUCAUGCCCAAAGUGUGAUCCUUGGCACCUAAGACCUAAAACUUCAAGAAUAAGGGAUACUUUUUCCAAACCUUAACCCUACAUAAUCUACUUCCAUCUUGAUGGAAUAAAUCAUUGGUUAUGCACCUAUUCGUGCCCUACCAAUGUCGUUGAGGAGUACCAUUCUAGUAGUCAAUAUACGAAACUAAUUUUGCUCUACCAAACAUCGUUGGAAGAGCAUAAUUUUGACAUGGAUGGCCUUGUAGGCUAAAUCCCCUUAGUAAAUCAUUUACUUUAUGAACAUUUUUCCAUGUUCCUCGAUUCAAGUUUGGUGUAUGUUUUAGUUAUGGAUAAUCUUAUUGAUAUUGUCCUCGAAUACGAGUUAAUUGAAUCAUGUUUCUUAAUACAUGUGACCAAAUUCAAUUAAACACGUGAUUAGGUAGGAAUGUGGGAAAGUUAGUUGUCUGGGUGAAUGUGAUACUACUCACACUAACUUUAUGCCUAAAUCACAUCUAGCAACCACUUCAGGUCUAUCCAACCUAAUUAAGAGCAUUGGCAAGCUCUUCAUUGUCUGAAUGGUACUAAAUUACGAUUUAAGAAACCUUACAUUCUCCCCGUUCCGGGAGAACGUUGUUGAGUCUUAAGGAUAUUCGAGAGAACAAUGAUCAUGAAUGAAACCACUGCAAAAAAUAGAGUGGAAUAUCUUUGCACCACCUUAAAAAAUGAGCCUAAAGCUUUGAGCUUGGUGAUUCGAGCAGUUUACUUGCCUUAGCAUGACCUUUUGGGACACUUAGGUCAAACAAUGAUGCUACGACGUAUCUCCUUACCCGAAGUAAGGAUCUUGUGCUUACAAGCACACUUUGCCAAGCCUGCUCGUAGGGGAAAUUGAUUUUCUAAAUCAUCCUUCACAAAGAUACGAAAUCACCCUUUUUUUACAGUGGAUUCAAAGGGAAUAUAUGAGGACUAAUUCAACUAAAAUAUGAAGCAUAUAAAUACUUUUGAUUUUGGUUGAUGAAUCGACAAGAUGUUCACAUGUUUGUCUACAUACAUUGCCAAUAAACCUCUUGGCCGAUUUUAAGGGUUCACCACCCCACUUAUCCUAUAAAGUUUGGAAGACUGGAUAAUGCCUAAGAGUUUAUAUCGAUGGUUUUCGAUAAAGUAUUGCAUGUCUUUUGGGUUUAUUAUUGAACAUCAAAUUCUCAUGUUCAUCCCAAAUAGCCUCAUAGAGCGAUCAUAAAGCGCAAUUUAAUUGAUCAUCCGGACCUUGGUGAAUGCACCAAGCUUUCAGUUUCUAUGCAAUCUUGUACGCAGCUAUGUUGGUCCACCUUGAGGCCUAUUGCCACCCAACCUAUUUGAUGUUAUAGUUGGUUACUGGGUAUGAACCUAAUGCUUCAUAUUUGGGUGUGCAUUCUAUGUGCCAAGUUGCACCGCCGCAACGUACCAAUAUAGGUCUUCAAAGAAGGAUGUGAAUCUUUGUCGAUUAUGAUUCUCCUUCACACUAGCUCUCUUAAAACCCUUGCAUGCAAUCUCUUUACCGCUCAUUUGUGGAUUGUCACUUCAAUAGGACAGUCUUCCCACUGUUAAGGAGAGAUAAAAACAUCAACGUUCCUAUAGAACGACACGAAUUUUCGUGGACAUUGACCACUAUGUCUCAUCUCGAUCCCCGUAUCACACAAGUGUGAUAAGCAAAUCCGAUGUAUUCUAGCUUUCAGAAUGUUCCUCCAGACGUAUUCCUCUAAUCUAGCUAAAUUGACGAGAUCAUAUACCAGCUGCAAACAUGCUUGUAAGGAUAGACGUACUUAAUGGACGUUGAGUUAACUUCUCCAAAGGGUGUGCCACCUCUGUUUAACGGUUUGGCCGCUCUUGUUGGACGAUCCGGUACACCAGCAGAUAAUCAAUCACUUUGUCUUGGCCUGGAGCAUGAUAGAUCACUCGGUUCAUACAAUUCACUUCCUUAGAAGAGGAAGACAUGACACAAAAUGAAUCUAUACCCGACCGUUGUCUCAAAUCAUUUCCAUCUCAUAAGAUUAAUCUAGAUUACUCCCGAGACUUAAAGUUCUUGGUCUAGUAUACUAGUUUGGAUGAGAUUAUGGAAUUAGAAUGAGAUUAUCAUCAAUGAUGUUUCACUUAUAUGGUAGUUACCGACAUAAAUGAAAAGCGACGAUAUCGAACUAUGUUUCGUUGAUUAGUGACAACGUAGAACUGAUUGGACUAUCGAAAUUACAAUCCAAGUUAAAUUUCUUACCAAAGUGUGAUUGGACCUAUCAUUCCUAAACUACCCAAGGUAACCUUGCUGUGUUACAAGUGGGAAAAGAAGUGUUAUGAGAUGAAUGAAAUAGUGCAAUAUGAUGAACGCCUUACGAUGCAAUGUUUCUCUCAAACGUCCUGUGAUUGACUGCAUCACUAUGAAUGUGGUUAAUAUUUCUCCAUGGGGAUAUUCAUACGUAGAUUUACAUGUAAGUUCCCGAAGAAUUACAUGGACUGUUUCAAAUAGUUCCAAACCAUGUAACACCCUCUUAACUUGUUUAAGGCAUUCACAUAUAGAUUGAAGCAAUUCGACAGAUAUGGUAUAUCCAUCGAAGUGAUUAUUUGAUCCGUUAGGGAUAUGAAUUAUGCUUUUGCAUGUUAAACUAUGAAGUCUUAUUCCGAAUUGCUAGAGUUACAGUUUAUGUCGUUGACAUAAAUCUUACUAAGACUGUAGAAGAACUUGAGAAAACUGUCUGGCACCUGAAUAUGGAAUUUGAGAUGAAGGAUCUUGGGAAAAAUCGUUUAUGCCUUGACUUGAAGUUAAAGCAUUGUUCUGAUGGUAUUUUGGUCUACCAGUCGAACUACAUCGCGAAGGUGUUACCUUUGAGUAUACCUAUGAUCUUCCAUAUGUUAUAUGCAAAUGAAACCCUUGAACAGGUUAUGAAACCUGAAGUUCCAUAUCUGAGUUCAACUUUGCGUUUUGUUGUACUUAGCUCAUUGCGUUAGACAAGACAUCUUCUUCGCUGUUGAUUUAUUGGUAAAGAUGCAGUGCGCCUACACGCAACAACUGAAUUGGUAUUAAAGAUGUUUUUCCACUACCUUAAAAGGUACUAUGGAUUUGGGCUAAUCCUAAAGCAUCUCAAGCGAAUCCGACCCUCUGAUCCUUGGAAUGAUGCUUGCCUUGUUUGUUAUCCUGAUGCUAGUUACUCAUCAAGCCCGCACAAGGCAAAAUCCCUAAAUGGUUAUGUCUUUACCGUUAGGGAUAUCGCAAUAUCUUGGAGGUCCACGAUAUGACCUUAGUUAUGAAAUCUUUGAAUCAUUUCAAGACUCACCUUACUUCAUUAAGCCAUACGUGAGACAUGGUUAGGAGCUCUUAUUGAGCAUAUUUGAAGUACUUACUGUUUUCAUCCAUCGUUGAGUCCCAAUGAUGAUCCAUGAAGACUAUGCGCAUGUAUCAACCUGACCAAGCCAUGAUACAUUAACGAAGUCAACAUCAAGACAUAUUUCGUCUACAUAAGUAAAUCAUCAAGAGAUUGAAGUCAUGUAAGCUGACCCUAGACAACCUUGUCGACCUCUACAUGACGUCACUGCCGAAGUUAACCUUCUAGAAGCUUGUUUGAGGAAUUGGUAUGCCUAACUAUCAUAUACAAUGCUUGUAGUUCUCAUUUGGAAGUUUUGUCAAACUCAGGGGGAGUAUCCAGAAGUAUACUCACUUGAUCUUCAUGUACUCUUUUUCCCUACGAUUAGGAGCACUUUUCCCACUAGGUUUUUGCUACCUAACUAGGUUUUGAUGAGGCACCCAUCCUGGGUGAGCUCUUCUACUUACGUCCAGAAGACUUAUAGUUUGACUUAAUGCAACUUCUCACUUUUCUCCUUAGUCUAUGGGUUUUUCUCCCACCUUGGGCUUUACCACAGCGAGGUUUUGUGAGUUUUACCUUUUAUGCGUUCAUCCAUUAUUUUGAGACUCGUAUUCACUCAUUGUGUCGACAACUUCAUCAACUAUACUUGUUUUAUCGCCGAAGACCUAAUGCGCCAUUUGUUUGAGUAUUUACACACUCAAGGGGGAGUGUUGCAGUCCUAUUAGAUUAGGAAUGUGAUUGUGUAAAUCCUAGUGUAUCUACGAAUAUCUUUGAAUAUUCCCUUUAGUAGUUAAUAUCCUAUUAGAGUUGUAAUUUUAUUAGGGUAAGGAUUUAACCUAUCCUAAUACAAUAAAUAAAGGUACAAUGGGGUAGAAUAUAACACACGUCACAAUUACACAUCUCUCUCUUUCUCUCUACUAUGCCGCACCCCUUCUCUCUCUAUCUUUUAUAUAAUUCAGUAAAUUAGGUCUACAACAACAGAGAUAAUUUUUUCAUAAAAAGCUGAAAUUAAAAAAUAAUAAAAGCAGUUUUCUUCCCACUAUCGUUCGAGAAGAACCAGCAUAAUCAAAACGAAAAGAAGUGAAAUUGUAAAUCUGGAUGGAUCAAGGUUAAAAUGCAAUAUGCAGGAUUGAAAUUAUGAUUCAAUCCUGAUUUUUUCACAACAAAAAUCAAAAGAGUAAAUAAACGAAGCCAAAGGAUUUGUACGAAAUCUCGCACGAGGAAAAAAACCCUCCACACAGGAGAGAAAAACCUCAAGGCACACAGCCAAUUUCACUAAAAAAACUUAAGGACAUAAUACAAGACUUAAUUGAUACUUUCUUACACCACAACAGAAGCUUGAUCAAAUACUCUUGUCUUAUAGAACACGUCCUCUUCACCUUCGCUUGGAUGAACACUGAUUCACGCAGGUUGAUGAUCUUCCUCACAGGCAAAGCUUACACAAAGUUCCAUGAUGAAUGAAUGAUGUGUUAUGCUCUCAGACUCUCACCUAGAUAAAGCUAAGAACCUAACCGUCUUUUGUUCCCCCCUCUUGACCUUAUAAAAUAAUCUCACAAAUAUAAUUAGUGUGCAAAAGGUCUACCUUAAAACUCCCAGCACAACCCUUUAUAUACUAGGUUAACUCUUUUUCCUAAUAAACAAAGAGAUUGGCCUUAUUUAAACCUCUUCCUUAUUUAAGACUAUGCAGAUUUGAAUAGACUCCUAGAAUCCCACACCAAAUCAAUCUUUAAUAGGGAACACAAAUCCUAUAUGAAUGCAAAUGAUUCUUACCAGAAAAAAACUUUGCCGUGUAAUAUUGGUCAAUCAUGUUCCUCAUUUAACGCAUGCUCCAACCUUUGCAAGUUACAAUUAAUCUUAAGACUAGGAAUAAUCAACUUAUAGACUCUUUACAUUUGCUAGGAAAUAGCCAACUUAAUUACACUUUCAAUCUCCCCCUUUGGCAUUUCCUAGAUAAAAUCCCCAAUACAAAAAAAUAACACCCGUUCCAGAGGACCUCAUUUAUCUGCACAGGCACGAAUUACCGGUGAAGCACAAAAGAUAAAUUACAAAAGAUAUAUUAAGAGUGACAAAACAUAUUCUCCCCUUGAAUCUAACGAACAUUAAGCAUAUUAGUACUCCCCCCUUUUUGUCAAGGGAAAUCCAAAAAUAACCAAGCAACAGAGUUCACAUGCAGCGGAUCAGAAAUCACAUAGCUAAGGUAUGCCAUGCUAAUAAAUGAUAGUUCAAAUUGCCAGUAAGUAGAUAAAUAGAGAGAUAUGCAUGGGAUAAAUAGGAAUAAAAUAGAAUGCCAAUCCCAAAGUGCAGUACUAGUUCCUCUUAGGCACAGCAUACAGGAUAGUCCAUUUAGUUUAACUAAAACCACAGGAGAUAAGAUGAAAUUUAAAAACUAGAAAACCAAGGAAAGAGUAUGGGAAUUUUAAAUAGCUUGUGUGAUGUAGUGUAAGUGUGUCUCAAGAAUGUGGGAUUAAGGAACCAUAGUCAACUCCCCUUACGAACCAAAAGAGCCUAUACAAACUAACGGUUUUGUCCAAACUCUGGGCAUAUUGUAAAUUUCUAUCAAAGCAAUGAAAUGAGAGAACCAAACUGAUAAUUGACAUAGAUGCUAUCAGUUGUCACAACAUUUAGACGUUUGCAUAUCCUUGGUGUGUGCCUUGCAUCGUUUAUUUAAAACAUGUUAUUGCUAGCGGUUGUCACAACGGUGAGACGUUUACAAAUCUUCGUUGUGUGCCUUGCAUCAUUUAUUUGAGACACAUUAUUGCUAGCGGUUGUCACAACGGUGAGAUGUUUACAUAUCUUCGUUGUGUACCUGGCAACUUUGAACUUUCUAUUGCAUGUCUUAGACAAGAGACUAGUACAAGCACUCUUUUUUUUUUUUUUUGAGCAAAGUGCUUAUAGGCAACCAAAGUGGGGACAAAAAAACUAGCGUAAGUGCCCCACUAAUUAGAAAGGCAUGAUCAAUCAUGAAUUUGUACCCCCACAAACACUUGAGAUAGUGAGAAACUGAGACAUGACAAAAACAAACAAAAUAGGAAAUAGCAAUGUCUGGUUCUCGAUAGACAAAAUAACACCUUAUAUCUAAUGGAGCAAAGAAACCAUAAUAGUAAUCCAAUUUGACAUCAAAAGAAUAGUAGCAGCACAGAGGGAUGAUAUAUAUAUAUAUAUAUAUAUAUAUAUAUAUAUAUAUAUAUAUAUAUAAAGACACAUAUGCAGACAAAAGACAUGCAUUACUGGCAUUUUGCAAACUACACAGUCAUGCAAUGGAGCACACACCAAUAGAUUGUCUAAGGUGUUCAUAUCGAUUAUUAUCCAAUGGUUUUGUGAAGAUAUCAGCAAGUUGUUUAUCAGUGGGAAUAUAUUCCAAUGCAAGAAGAUCAUCUUCUACAAGAUCACGUAUAAAGUGAUGCCUUAUAUCAAUGUGUUUAGUGCGAGUGUGCUCAACAGGAUUCUUUGAGAUAUUAAUUGCACUUUGGUUAUCGCAAAAAAUGAUCAAUUUACCUUGCACUAUACCAUAGUCACACAACAUCAGCUUCAUCCAUAACAGUUGUGUGCAGCAGCUUCCAGCAGCUAUGUAUUCAGCCUUGGCGGUGGAGAGUGAGACACAAUUUUGUUUCUUACUAUGCCACGCGACUAAGUUGUUUCCUAGAUAAAAAUAAUCCUUUGAAAUGUUUUUUCUAUCAUCUAUAUUACCAGCCCAAUCUGCAUCCGAAAAUCCUGCAAUUUCCACAUUUGAGUUGAAUGAGUAAUGAAUUCCAAAGCUUAAAGUGCCACUUACAUAUCGUAUUAUUCUUUUAACAAUAGUUAAAUGUGAUUGCUUAGGACAUGAUUGAAAUCGUGCACAAACACCAACACUAAAGGAGAUGUCAGGACGACUAGCAGUAAGGUAUAGUAGACUCCCUAUCAUGCUUCUAUACAAUGUUUGAUCAAUUGGUUCUCCAGUAGGAUCUUUGUGGAGCUUCUCUGUGGUGCUCAUGGGAUUUUUCACUGGUUUGGCAUUUUCCAAACCAAACUUAGCGACAAGAUCCUUUGCAUAUUUUGUUUGGGAGAGAAACAUGCCAGCGAAAUCUAUUUCAGUAGAGCGUAUGAUGUCGAUGGCCCGAGGUAUUUCUCGUCAUGAUCGAUCCACGUCCUAUCGACCUACAAACCAAGAAAGUAAUUCAAUUCUCCACACAUACUCAUCUCAAAUUCAUUACUCAUUAUAUCAGUAAAUUCAGAAACUAAAAGAUUAGAGGUAGAACCAAACACAAUAUCAUCCACAUAAACUUGAGCAACAACUAAAUCACUUUUAACCAGUUUGACAAACAAAGUUUUGUUAAUUGCUCCUCUAGUGUAACCAUUUUGAAGCAGAUAUGAAGACAACCUCUCAUACCAAGUCUGGGGUGCCUGUUUCAAACCAUACAAUGCUUUUUUUUCAGUUGGUAAACGUGACUAGGAUGAAAAUGAUCUUUGAAUCCAGCUGGCUGUUCCAUGUAAACUUCUUCUUGCAACACCCCUUUCAGAAACGCACUUUUGACAUCCAUCUAGUACAACUUGAUCCUGAGAUGGCAUGCAAUUGCUAGUAAUAAUCUUACUGAUUCCAAUCUUGCUACGGGAGCAAAAGUUUCGUCAAAGUCAAGACCUUCCACUUGAGUGGAACCUUGAGCAACCAAUCUAGCUUUAUUGCGAAUUACAUUCCCUUUCUCAUAUGUCUUGUUUCUAAAAAUCCACUUGGUACCAAUAACAUUGGCAUCCUUGGGCCGUGGAACCAAGUACCAAACAUCAUUCCUUUUGAACUGGUUUAACUCAUCUUGAAUGGCUAAGAUCCAAUCAUUGUCAACCAUGGCUUCUUUGACAUUUUUUGGCUCAAUUUGAGAGACAUAAUACAAGUAGCUUAUUUCUUCAACAUCUUGACUUCGAGUUCUCAUUUUAUCAUUGAGCUUCCCAAUGAUGUUUCAGGUUUGUGAUCUCUUUUUACUUGCUUAGCUCCAGUUCUAAGUGUUUGAGAUGAUGUGUCAUGGAUGUCUUCUGAGUUUGUGAUACUUGAAGCAUCAUUCACUGCAGCAACUUGAUCACUCCUACUUUCUGUUUGUAUUCCAAUAAGAUCAUCAUCAUCCUUCAUCUGUUUGACUUGGUCCAAAUCAAAAUCAUUAAUCACAACAUUUAUGGACUCCAUUACAGCCUUAGUUCGAGUGUUAUAGACCCUAUAAGCCUUGCCAGUUAGAGAAUAACCAAGAAAAAUACUAAUGUCACUCCUAGAGUCAAAUUUAGCGAGAUGUUCCCUAUCUUUGUAUAUGUAACAUGUACUCCCAAAGACUCUCAAAUGACUGACAUUAGGCUUUUUCUCUUUCCAAAGUUCAUAAGGAGUUGCUUUUGACUUUGGUCUUAAAUACACUCUGUUAGCAGUGUAACAAGCAGAACAUAUUGCCUCAGCCCAAAAAUGUUUUGCCAAAUUUGCAGAAUUAAGCAUUACUCUACUCAUGUCAAGCAAGACUCUAUUUUUCCUUUCAACCACCCCAUUUUGUUGAGGUGUGAUAGGAGCAGAAAAUUCAUGUGCAAUGCCAUGUUCAUCACAAAAUUCAGAAAAGAAAUUAUUCUCAAAUUCUAUCCCAUGAUCCAUCCUUAGUCUAAUGAUGUUAUCAUGUUUUUCAUUUUGAAUUUUCAUGCAUAAAACAGUGAAAGAUUUAAAUGCAUCAGAUUUAUCAUGCAAGAAAGCAACCCAGGUAAAGCGAGUGAAAUCAUCCACAAGAACUAGUAUAUACUUUUUACCUCCCAAACUUAGAUUUUGAUUUGGACCAACCAAGUCCAUAUGCAUAAGUUCCAAUGGUUUUGAUGUGGAUGAGAAGUUGGUGGGACUGUGUGAGUUUUUGGUCUGCUUUCCUAUUUAACAAUCACCACAAACUCCUUCUUGUUUUCCACUUAAUGUGGGCAGCCCACUUACAUAUUCUUUCUUUGAAAUUUUGAUUAGAUCUCUAAAAUUCAUGUGUCCUAAUCUUCGAUGCCAUAGAUUAGUGAUAUUGUUUUCAACCCUGUAGCAAACAUUCAAACCAUUAGCCAUAGCACAAUAGCAAUUAUCAUCAGACCUUGGUCCACAAAUGACCUUUUCACCUAUUUUUGUACUUACUAUGCAUUCAAUUUCAUCAAAUAUAACCUUACCAAAGUCAUCACUUAGUUGACUAAUACUCAUAAGGUUUGCAGUAAGGUUUUCAACAAGUAAAACAUUAUGCAAAGCAGGUAAACCAGGAGCUUUAACUGUACCUUCACCCAAAACCUUGGCUUUCUUACCAUCACCAAAGGUUACCGUGCCUCUUACCUUUUUAUCUGAGAAUGACUGAAACCAACAUUUAUCACCUAUCAUAUGCCUUGAACAAUCACUAUCAAAGUACCACUUGUUAGAGUUGCAAGAAUCCAAGGCAGUAAAGGCAACAAAACAUUUGAGAUCAUUAGACUCAAUUGAAGAAUGAGCAAGUACGUAGCAUGUGAUUCAUUCACUGAUUUAGUCCUUUUCUUUUCUCUCCACACAAGUUUCAUCUUAGGCAAAUAGGAAUUUGGAAUAUGAACGAGUUUAGACAACCUAUUCACUUCUCUCAAGAGAUUUGAGAGAUGAGUACGUGAUGCACCAAUAGAAAAAUUAUCAGAAUGAUUCAAGUAUUUUUUGUCACAAGAAGGUCGAAUAUGACCUACCUCACUGCAAGCAUGACAAGUAAGAACACAAGUCUUAGGCAUAGCACACGUACCUGAAGCUUUCACAAAUUUUGUUCCUGAAGAACUAUCAGUGGAACCAUCAAAACCCAAACCAGUUUUAUCUCCACUGGAUUUUCCAAUACUGAGCAUUUUGUCAAUCUUUUCCGCGCCAAUGGUUAAUCUUAUGAUUUUUUCUUUAGAAGCCUCAAGUUGUGAAGUUAAUGACUUGUUUUCUUUCUCAAGUUCAAACAAUCGAUAUUGAAACACAGUUUCGAUCCUACAUUUCUCAGUUUCCAAAUUUUUCAAUUUUUCUUUCAUGUCAAAACUAUGCUUUCUAAUUUUUACAGAGACAUGAUAAAGUUCAUUAUAUUUUUGAAGUAUUUCUUCAGCAUCAAGCUCCAGACUAUCAGAUUCCUCAAGAUCAUCGAUAUUUGCAAAUCCCACAAAUGCAACUAUCUCACUUUCCGAAUAUGAAUCUAAUUCACUGUCACUCCAAGUACUCUUCAUGGCUUUGUUUUUUUUUUUUCAGAUUUUAAUUUCUUCAAGGUGUUAGCACAUUCUUUUGUCUCAUGUCCAAAACCCUGACAUUCAUAGCAUUUUCGACCCUCAGUUUGUUUAAUAAGUCUGGAACUUUUUGCAGAAUUAAAAUUGUUUGACUUGAAGGGUUUAGAUCCUGAACUUGUUCCUUUUCCCUUAAAAUUUUUACUCUUGAGAAAUUUUUUAAACUGUCUAGUGAUUAGAGCAAAUUCCUCAUCACCAAUUUCCUCACUUUCUUCACAUUCUUCUUUUAUAGCUUUUAGGGCAAUGUUUUUACUCCUUUUCACAGUAGGAAGCUCCAUUUCAUCGGUUUUCAAAGACCCAACUAAUUCUGCAAUUUUCAUUGUGUUUAAGUCUCUAACUUCUUCAAUUGCAAUUUUCUUAGGUUGAAACCUAGAAGGUAGUGAUCUAAGAACCUUUUUGACAACUCUAGAUUCAGGAAUUUUAUCCCCAAGAUUAGCACAAGCAUUGAUGAUACUAUUUAACUUAGCAUAGAAAUCAGAAAAGGUUUCAUCUUCUUCCAUUCUAAUAAUUUCAAAUUGAUUGACAUACCUUUGAAGCUUUGACUCUUUAACAGCAUUUAUUCCUUCAUAGGUGACCUGCAAGAUAUCCCAAGCCUCUUUGGAGGUCUCACAAUUUGAAAUAUUAGAAAACUGAUCAGGAGAUAAGGUAGUAAAUAGAGUGUUUAACCCUUUUUGAUUAUUCAUGGAAUGAGUUUGAUCAGCCAGUGUCCAUUCUUCAUGAGGCUUGAGAACAACUUCCUCAACGACAAUGUGUUAGACUUGAAAAUUUGUCACACGUGAAGGGAUGAGUGUUGAGAAUGAAUCCCAUAUUGAUGAGAUGAGGGAUCUUAUAUGGGUUUAUAAAUAAGUUGGACUUCUCCCCAAAUUGACAAUUAGUUUAUGGUGGAACCUUAAUUUUUUUUUCAUGUUUUGCACAUGCAAUCACAAAGAAUGUAAAACUCGGUGAGAAAAUUGUUGCAGCAAAAAGAAGAAAUCAGGAUCCAAAAUCGAUCAGAAUCGAAUGUUUGAGUGAGUUGGUGGUUUAAUCACCAUCUAUAGGUUUGAGAAUUUGUAUCCCUAACAAUUUUGAAAAUUUAUCUUCCAUUUUAUGGGUUUUCAGAAUGUUGGAUGAUAACACAAGUGGAAUCGUUUUACUGUCAAAUGGUAGUUUCUUUGCUUGUGCUUACUAAUUUGUAUGGUAUAUUGGCAACAUUAGUUAUAUAGAUUCAGUGAAUUUUGUAACGAAUUGGAGUGUGCAUGAUUCCUUUGUUCACAUCACAGGUGGAAAAAAGCUUUACUUCACAACGUACUACGCGUGACGUAAAGAAGAAUUUGAAAUAUCUUUUUAGUUGUCAAUUAGGUCAUCAAUUUAGUCUAUUCCCAAAUAUAAAUGCGAAAAACAAAAUAAAAUUAUAGCGGUGUGCUAUCCACACACCUCUUUUUACUUCUCACACACCCUUAUUAAUUUCUGUCCGUUGAUCUUCUUCAAUUCAUCUAAUCUGAUGGCUGAAAAUCAAAAAGGUAUGAGAGAAGUAAAAAUGGGUGUGUGGAUAUCACACCCCAAAUUCUAUACGUCGCGUGUAGCGUGCAAUGGUUGAAAAAAACAAAUCUUUCGCAUGUGCGCAUAGGAAAACUAGUAAUGUAAUAAUGCUUUGAUUAUAGAAAGGUUGUCCAAGUAUUUUUUGAUAAAAAGGGUUUUGUGAAGAUUUGUCAGGAUAGUAGGAAGAUGUUGACGAGGCAUAUAUUCUAAAAACUAGAAAGUGCCGGUAAUUACCUCGCCUUUCCAGAUCCGAGCUUGAAACUGGAAUCAUACAUAUAUCCAUUCCGAUCUGUUUCAAAUUCUGCACACACUCCUAAACCAAAUUUUCAGAUCUUCUACAAGAACAAAAGAGAAUGUCAAGCUACUCACACCCUCCUCCCGGCUAUGGCUAUGGCUACGGCUACAGCUACGGCAGCGCUUCACCUCCAGGUCAACCCUACGGUGCACCGCCGCAAGGGCAGCUCCAACACCAACAGCACCAGACAGCCCAACCCUACGGUGCUACGUCUGCACCGUACGGCUCUUCAUACAAGCCAGAGAAGCCGCACAAUCCAGCUAAGCCUCUCAAGAAUCAAGCCAGCGGAGGUGGAUACCCCGCGCCUGCUCCGAGUUACGGCAGCCUGUUCGCGGCUUUGGUUCCAUCGGUGUUCCCGCCGGGCACGGAUCCGGAAACCAUAGCUUGCUUUCAGCUGGUAAUCAGGACGGCAGCGGCUUCAUCGACGACAAUGAGAUGCAGAGAGCUCUGUCGUCGUACAAUCAGAGCUUCAGCUUGAGGACUGUUCAUCUUCUCAUGUACC